AGACUUUGUCUGAAUUAGAUAUUUCUAACAAUAACUUCGAAAGCCACAUUCCUAGAGAAAUAGGAUCAUAUUUUCCAAGUUUAACAUUUUUAUCCAUGUCUGAUAACCACUUCAGUGGUCGCGUUCCCUCUUCAUUUGACUUUCUGUUGUAUCUUCAAGUUUUGGACCUCUCAAAUAACAACAUCUCUGGAACCUUACCAUCUUUCUUUAACUCUUCAAACCUCCUGCAUGUUUAUCUGUCACGAAAUAUGCUACAAGGAUCCCUAGAACAUGCAUUUCAGAAAUCCUUUGAGCUAAUAACGUUGGAUCUUAGCCAUAAUCAUUUGACUGGUAGCAUUCCAAAAUGGAUUGGUGAGUUUUCCCAACUGAGCUUUCUUCUCUUGGGUUAUAAUAAUCUUGAUGGCAGUAUACCCACGCAAUUGUGCAAGUUGAACGAAUUAAGCUUCAUUGAUCUUUCUCAUAAUAAUUUUUCUGGUCAUAUUCUACCUUGCCUAAGAUUUAAAAGCAGUAUUUGGUUCAUCCACAAGAUAUCUUUGAGUUAAUCUUCGAGAACCAUUGGUUAUUGCAACAAAGAGUCUGUCUUAUUCUUAUCCGCCAAGUAUUUUGUACUACAUGACCGGAUUGGAUCUCUCCUGCAACAGUUUGUCAGGUGCGAUUCCUCCUGAAAUUGGGAAUCUCAACCACAUUCAUGUAUUGAACCUGUCCAACAAUCAUUUAAUAGGCCCAAUCCCACAAACUCUUUCAAAUUUGAGUGAAGUUGAGAGCUUGGACCUUUCCAAUAACAGCUUGAAUGGGGAAAUCCCUCCUCAACUUGUACAAUUGCAUUCUCUUGCCUAUUUUAGUGUAGCCAACAAUAACCUGUCUGGUAGGACUCCUGAGAUGGUUGCACAAUUCUCAACAUUCAAUAAGAGCAGCUACGAGGGAAAUCCCUUACUUUGUGGACCACCACUGCUUAACAGUUGCACCAAAGAAGUACCACCACCACCACCUGGGCCUUCUACUGAUGAGAAAGAAGAGCUUAGCGUCUUCAUUGAUGCACAAGUUUUCUGUGUGAGCUUUGUUGUGACGUACAUCAUGGUGCUGUUGGGAAUAGCUGCAGUUUUGUACAUAAACCCAGACUGGCGGCGAGCAUGGUUUUAUUUCAUUGAGAAGAGCAUCAACACUUGCUACUACUUUGUUGCGGACAAUCUUCUUAAGCCAUUCAGAAUCAGAGUUUGGAAGCCUUUGGUAUAAAUAAAUCUCAACUUUGCAUUGUUUCUACAUUUCAAAGGGAAGAUUUAGAUGGUCAAUCUUAUCUCAUCUCAGUAGUAUAAAUAAUGUCUGAAAAGCUGUGUUCUUUAUAGCAAUGUAAUGAAGAAAAUCAUUUCUUCACAAUUUUGCUUUCAGCAUUCAGCAAGUUCUUUCUCAUAUAUCUUCCUUCAAAUCGUAAGAACGAGUAAUGGAUAUUACCUAAGACAAACCCAAGGCAUGCAACUCAGUGUAGUUUAUUUGUAGGAGUAUCUGUUGAAUAAGGCAGAAAAUGGUAAAGUUUUCAUUUCCUCGUGUUAACUGGAAAUGUCAACUGGAAUAGAGUAGCUGUGGAAUUUAUUUUGUGUGAAUGCUCUGGAAUUGUUAGUUGGACUGAAGCUUUGAAACGAUUCGUAUGUACUUCAAAUUAGGUAGACUAAAGUUUUUUUUGUUAAAUAUGGUCCUUGUUCUUUCAAUUUUAAUUUUCAGCCCCAAUUGACUAAUUGAUCAUUAAGUUCCUCUCAAAACUAAAAACAUGCUUUGACCACGGUUAACAACUUUCUUUUCUUUUGUCUUAGCAGGUGGCCAAUCGAGCCAUCUUCAGGUCAAGCGAUGAAUGAAUGCAGCAACCUUUUUCUUCGUCAUAGCAUGUAAUUUUCCACAACCACUAACAAGACUAAUAAAAUUGAUCAUUAAGUUCCUCUCAAAACUCAAAACAUGCUUGAUUCGGCAAAUUAAAAGAAAUGUAAAUAGAAAAUAAUAUGGCAAGGAUGAAAUUGAAAAUAUUAAAAGUUUGAUGAUGGAAAAGAAUCAUUGUUCAAAAUAAACAACGCAAUCCAUAAUAACUAUUUUUUAAAAUAGUGAAUGUCACAUAUGUUUUAGUUGUAUAGUGAAUGUCACAUGUUUUAGUUGUUGUUAUUACUAUUACUAUUAUAUAUAUAUAAGGGAAGAUAUUUAUUGAAAUCCAAUUUUUUAGAAAUAUAAUUACAGAUAUGCACAUAUAAGGAUUAUAUAUGGAGCAUUUUACGAGAAACAAUAAAGAAAGAAAGUGUUUUUUGUAUUUUCAGAUUAUUUUGAUAUGCUGAUAUAAAAAAUAUAUAUCAUUAUAAUAAAUUUUUAAAUAAAAAAUAUUUUAAAAAAUAAUUAUUAAUACACUUUUAAAUACCAUCAUAAUUUACAGCAUUAUAACUUUGUUUGAGGAAGGGUAAAUAUUUAAAAAUAUUAGAUUGAAAGUCCAAAUAGGUUACUCAUCAUUGGGUUCAUGAUCCCCAAGCCACUCAUAUAUUUUCAAAGUUCAAGUUUUAAUAUCUAUUUAGUAUGGAUGCUGUGAUUUUAUUUUUGGUCUACCAGGGUGGUGGUGCCAUUUAUGUUUGGAGGAAGAGAGAAUUGCUCCAUUGGAAAUAAAAAAUUUCCUUUUACCUACCCCUUCCAAUCCCCAUGACGCAUUUAUGCACAAAUCUUCCAAUUCCCAACCCCUUGUUAACGAAAGAUCGAGCGUGUUGAUUCGUCUGGUAGUAUAAAGAGCAGCUUGUACAAAGCCAGUGGUAUACAAUUUAAUUCAUCAAGUAUUUCAAAUGGGUUAAGCAGGUUCUCUGUAGUAGUGAUAAAGCUGAUCUUCAUGGUUUUAUUACCAGGGUGGUGGUGUCAUUUGUGUUUGGAGGAAGAGAGAAUUGCUCCACUGGAAAUAAAAACACUUCCUUUUACCUACACCUUCCAAUCCCCAUGACGCAAUUAUGCACAAAUCUUCCAAUUCCACGCUAUCGAUCCUGUGGUUUGGAUGGAAUUGGUCGACGUCAUCACAUGAUUUUCCAUAUGUAAUAAAGUCUUCUUUAUUUGGCUUAUUGUCCCAUUGAUUCUUCGAGGAAAUUCCCAAGUUUUAGCAUUACAUCAUGCAUAGUGCCAGCAGGAAGAUCAUCAAUUCAAUGGUCGGCAACACAGCAGAAAGAUCAUCAUGCAUAGUGCCAGGAAAUUCCGUCAUCAUGCAUAUUGCCCCCCUCUGUGACGUUCCUUUUACUUUUCACUUUGCCUUGGAAUGACAAUAAAAAAUAUCGGAAUAUCGAGAUUUAAUCUUGUAUUACUAAUUUUAUUUUUUUUAUUAGAUCAUAAAAUAACUUUCUUAAAUUACUUAUAAGAACUAGAAAUAAUUAAGGGUUAUUUCUCAAAUAAAAGAAAAGGUAUUGGCACCAUAAAUACACCAUGCUUAGUUUAGAAAUUUAUACAAGGAUUUAUGCAUAUUCAAGCUGAUAGUGCAGUUUAAUAAGACAAAAUUAAGAAUUUGGAGGGUUUAUUUUCAUCGACUAAACUAAUAGAAAGAGUCGAUAUCUAGACGGAGGAAAUCACAAAUAAUUAUUGAAGUCACAAAACUUAAAAGACAAGUGAAAAUCAAUGACCCAACCAAAGUCAAGUCAACCGUGAAAACAACCUUUAAUCAUGUGACUUUUUACCUUUUCGAUGGUUUUAAUGGGCUUCUCAUAUGCACAUGAAAAAUUGAAUUAGAACAUCUUAGUAACCGUGGAAGAUAAUAUUUUUUAAUUUGAUCAAAUAAUUUAUUGAUAUCAAGUUGUUUUGUCUACUGAUUUAGAAUAAAAUUUAAAAUUUCACAUUACCGAGAAUGUUUUUAUUGAUAUUGAUGUUAAUGUUGAGGAAUUAAAUAAUGCUUUGAGAACCAACGGACAUGCAGAACCAAUGCAAAAUAUUAUGAUGGAGAUGACGAUGACGAAGAUGAAAUUGAAGAAAACAAUCCUGAUUAAUUUGCACAACACACAAAUGUGUAAUGAAAUUAUCUUUACUGUAAUGACAAUGACAUGCAUUUAUUAUUACAUGAUAAGGAAACAUUUAUUUUUUGUAAUUUUAUUAUUUUACACAUAACUGGUAUUAUUAAAUUUUGUGCGUUGUUGUAUUUUUAAGAAUUUGCAUGAUGGAUAGAUAAAGAAUAUAGAUAGAAUAUGGCCACAUAUAUUGUUUUAUACAUAUGGCAUUACCAAUAUACUAUAAAAUACCAAUACAUAUACUGAUAGAUUAAGUCUGUUGGUUUAUUUCAGAGAGGUUUGGAAUUGUUCACUUUUCAAUGACACUAUUCAUUAUACUUAUUACAUAUGGAAUCAUCGACAUAUUAAGUCCAUCGAUAUUUUCUGGAGAGCUUUAGAAUUGUUCACUUCUCAAUGACACUAUUAAUAUUGUUCAUUCCAAACGGAAUUACUAAUAGACUGAAAAGUCAUCAAUGAUAUUUGAGGGGCUUUGAAAAUUUUCAAUUAAAUGUUACAAACAAAAAUACCAAGGAAAAUGUUAAAAAUGUUAAAAUUUAAUUAUCCAUUGGUAAAACCUUUGAUUAAAAAGAAAACCCAAAUAAAGACCAGAUGCCCUAAUAUCAUAAAAGACAAGCAUUUCUUCUUCUUAUCUCUUCCUCUUUGGUAAAAAAAACAAAAAAGUUUCUCUCUCUUUCGCUCAUUCUUAACUCCUCUUCUCUUCUUUUUUUCUCUACUCAGUUUUACUCUUUUUUUUAAUAAACAUAUUGUGAGUUGAGAAUAAUUGGGAGGCUUAACCUAAUAGGUAGCCAACCCUUUCUAUAUAUAUAUAUAUAGGGCAAUAUACAAUAGUAAUGGUGGAGUUUACCACACAAGAGUAUGUCUACAAUAUUUCCUAUAUAAGUAUAUUCUAUAAUAUGCCCCUCAAGCUGAGGGUGGAGGAUCAACCCAAAGCUUGAAAUGAAAAGCAAUAAACGAAGAAGUAGGAAGUGGCUUAGUGAAGAAAUCGGCAAGUUAAUCCUGAGAGGAAAUAAAACGAAUCUGAAUCUCCUUCUUUGCAACUCUAUCUCGGACAAAAUGAUAAUCAACCUCAACAUGUUUUGUGCGAACAUGAAAAACAGGAUUCGCAGACAAAUAAGUGGCACCAAGAUUGUCACACAAGAUAAUAGGAGCAGAAGCAGAUGGAAGCUGGAGAUCUGUUAAUAAGUAUUGAAGCCAGAUAACCUCAGCAGUGCCAUCAGCUAAGGCUUUGUACUCAGCUUCAGUAGAAGAGCGAGCAACUGUGUGUUGCUUACUGGAUUUCCAUGAAAUCAGGGUCUGACCAAAAAACACAAGAUAACCACCCGUAGAUUUUCUGUUCUCAACAUUGCCUGCCCAAUCUGCAUCUGUAAAACCAUGUAAGGCAAAAGAAGAACUGCGAGUAAUAUGUAAGCCAUGUGAUGUCGUACCCCGAAGAUAACGCAAGAUUCGUUCCACGGCAGCCCAAUGAGAAUCUGUAGGAGCAUGCAUAAACUGACAAACUUUGUUAACAGCAAAGCAAAUAUCUAGGAGCGUAAAAGUGAGAUAUUGAAGAGCACUCACAAUUUGACGAAAGCGGGUAGCAUCAUAAAACAAUGGAUCGGGCAGAAUGGUAGCUUUGGAUGUAGAGAUAGGAGUAUCAACAGGUUUGCAAGAUAACAUACCAGCCCGAGUGAGGAUGUCAAGUAUAUAUUUAUGCUGGCGGAGCAUAAGACCCAUACUAGUAGACUGAGCCUCAAUACCUAAAAAAUAAUGAACAGAACCCAAGUCACGAAGCUUAAAUUCUAAGCUCAGUAGCUUAAUGAGGCAUUGGAGAAGAAGAGAGUUACUACCCGUAAGCAGAAUAUCAUCAAUAUAGACUAGAAGAUAACAAAUAUCAGCACCAACAGAGAAGAUAAACAAUGAGGUAUCCACCUUAGAGGUACGAAAACCAAUAGAUAACAAGAAAUCAUUCAGACGAGUGUACUAAGCCCGCGGAGCCUGUUUUAAACCAUAUAGAGAUUUAUGCAAUCAGCACACAUGAGAGGGGAGAGCAGGAUCAACAAAACCUGGAGGUUGUUUCAUGUAGACCUCCUCAUCAAGAACACCAUUGAGGAAAGCAUUAUGGAUGUCAAGCUGAUGAAUUUUCCAACCACACGAAACUACAAUGGAGAAGACUAAUCUGACGGUUGCCUAUUUAAUGAAAGAACUAAAAGUUUCAGAGUAAUCAAUACCUUCUUGCUGAGUGAAACCUCUAGCAACCAAACACGCCUUAUACCUCUUAAUGCUUUUAUCAGAUCCGUGUUUAAUCUUGUAUACCCACCGACUACCAACAACAUUCAUGGAGGGGUGAAAUGGCACUAAGGUCCAAGUUCUAUUUGUGUGUAAGGCCUGAAUUUCCUCAUGCAUAGCACUAUGCCACGCCUUAUAUCUGUUAGCAUCAUUAAAAACAAGUGGCUCAUGAGAGGGAAGAGAAACUACCCGGCUGAAAGAGUCAAUAGAGGCUGCGGCAGUGGCUGUGGACAGCGCUGUCUUAGGCUGUCGUGGAUGAAGAAUCAUGGGAUGUUGACGAGCAGUUGGGCAUGGAGAAGUGUGACCUGUACCUGGAAGAUGCUGAAGAGGAUAUGAGGAGAGCAUGGUUGUUAAAAUCGCGUUUUGACUCGUAAAAUCGUAUGAUUUUACGAGUCAAAACAUGCAUUACGAGUUGAAUCGCUUGAAAAAAUUGAAAAUGGGUAAAAUCGGGUGAAAUCACAAAAAUCGGAUGAAAUCGCGCAAAAUCGCGAUAUCAGGACCGAUUGUGCGAUUUCAACAAAAUUAGGUGCUUAAAGUUUUUUUCCCUCAUGUCUAGCUGUCAGACGCCUAUUGGAAUUUGCUUUUCCCUUUACGUGACUGUCUUCAGUCUUCAGUCCACUGCCCACUAUCGUUACCUGACCCAAGUAAAGUCUGCGCCAGACCAGCCUCUGAUCAGGUUAUAAUAACAAAUUCUGAAUUCAAAAAGGUAGCAAGAACUUCAAGUUCAAAGUUCUACUCGUCAGAUAUAUAUAUAUAUAUAUAUAUAUAUAUAUAUAUAUAUAUAUAUAUAUAUAUAAACUAAUAAAAAAAAAUACUUUUAAGAUAGCUUCCAAGGAAAUAAAAAACAUGUUUUUAUAUAUAGAUAUAAACUUUUUAAAUACUUCAAUGAAAUACUUUUUAUAUAUAGAUAUAAACUAAUAAAAAACAUGUUUUUUAAGGUGCUUGAACUAUGUAUAAAUUUUUAUUUGAAACAUGAAUUUUUUUAAUGUAUUUUAAAAUUCUUUACGAUUUUUUUACGAUUUUACGAUCCGUUUUUACGAUCCGAGUUUGUGAACGGCUUUUUGUUUCGUGUUAAAAUCGCGAUUUUAACAACCUUGGAGGAGAGGUCUACAAAGAGCUGCAUACCAGAUGGAGAAGCAGUGGAGGGACUGGUCGGCACUGCAGACACUGGUGAGGCUACGGUAGAACUGGGAUGUUCUACUGCAGAACCAGGCUGCUCUGUUGCAGCAGACCUGAGAACAUGCGCAUUCGGUGAUGGAAAACCUGUUCCUGCACAAUGAUCAUUGGAAAGAAAAGCAUAUGGUGACAGUAUGGCAGUGUGGGAUGGUGAUGAAGUGGUGGCAGAAUCUAUGGGAAAAAGGGUGGUCUGAUGGGGUGCGACAUAGGGCAGAAUUGGGUUGUGGUUGGGGCCGGUUUGGUAAGUAGUAGGAUGAAAGGAUGGAGAAGGGUUCAAGGAUGGAAGAUAGGUAGGUGGGGUGGGAGGUACUGGUGAGGAUGUUACCUGUUCAAACUUCGCAAAUGGAACACAAGGAGAUAUAAAUACGAUCAAACUCUAAGUCAAGACAAUGAUAACCAAGAUGGGAUGAGCUAUAGCCUAAAAACACACAAGGAGAAGACCGGAAAUCUAAUUUAUGAGCAUGAUAUGGACGCAAAAAAGGGAAACAAAGACACCCAAAAGUACUUAGGAAGUUAUAAUCAGGAGUGUGUCGAAACAGACACUCAAACAGAGAUGUAUUUUGGAGAACAAGAGUAGGCAUGCGAUUAAUAAGGUAGACCGAUGAUUCAAAAGCAUAGUUCCAAAAUCGCAAUAGGGCACUACACUGGCCUAAAGGGUUAAGCCAGUUUCGACAAUAUGUCAAUAACGACGUUCAACAGUGCCAUUUUUUUCAUGCGUAUGUGGAAAAAUUAACCGAUGAUGAAUACCAAUGGUCUGAAAAAAUUUAUUUAAUUUACGAUUGUCGCUGGGGGCGGGCGACGCGACGUCGUCUGGCAACGGCGGAGGCUACUAUCUUGCCUCCUGUGUGAGGUGUUGUGUUUGGAAAGGGUUUUCAUCAUAAAAUUAUGAUUAAGGUUCAGGAGUCGCCACCUAGUAUUAUGGUCACUAGGAACCUUUGGUCUGCGAGAGUCUAAGUAAGGGACUGGUUGUGCUAGGAGAAGACGCAUCACCCCCAGUGCACUCUACCUAAGGUAAGUUGCAUUAUUGUUUGAUUGUUUUUUUUUUUUUUUUCUGAGUCGGGUUUCUGGUUGUCUUUUCCAAGGCUCAAGGCAGAUCUCUCUUUAUGAGAGAGUCUCUACCUUAUUGAGUUAAAUCCUAACAUCACAUUUCUACACCUUGUAUCAUCUUUAAUACCUGAGGGUGUACUUUAUCGUGUAAUUUUAUAACCCACAAAUAUUAAAGUCUACAUCUGGAUCCUAAAACAAAAAUUGAAAAAAGAUUUUUGACAUAUUGGCCAAAUAGAUUACUCAUCAUUGGGUUCAUGAUCCCCAAGCCACCCAUAUAUUUCCAAAGUUCAAGUUUUAAUAUCUAUUUAGUAUGGAUGCUGUGAUUUUAUUUUUGGUCUACAGGGUGGUGUUGCUACCCAAUUUUUUACCCAUAUUUUUGAUAAAUUUUAAGAAAAAUAAAAAAUAGCAAAAAAACAAAGAAAAACCCAAAAAAUGUAUUUUUGAUGUAUUCUCAUCGUUUUUGGCAUUUUCAACGCCAUCUCAAAAGAAUUUAAAUUUUCAAAAGUAUUUUGAACGCGUUCAACUCUUAACGCGUAAAUUUUACAAUCACUGAUUUUUCUUGUUGAGUCGAUGUUGAUAUUGCUCGCUUUCAAAAAUACAAAAAAAAAUAAGAAAAAUCAAAAUUUACAAAAAAGAAAAAGAAAAGUUGAGGGACUAGUUUGAAAAUAUAGUAAAACUUUGACUAUAACACACCCUACCUGAGGUAAGCUGCUUCGCGAAUUUGAUGUGUUAAAGAAGUUUUAAUAAUUGUCUUUUCAUCGAAAAUUAGAAAUAUCACUUGUUGCUACCCAAUUUUUGACCCAUGUUUUUGAUAUAUUUUUUCAAAAAUCCAAAAAUAGAGAAAAACAAUGAAAAUCCAAAAAAUAUGUUUUUUAAUAUAUUCUCGUCAUUUUAGCAUUUUCAGCGUCGUCUAAAAAGAUUUUAAUUUUUAUUUAAAGAAUUUAAUUUUUCAAAAGAUUUUCAAACGCGUUCGACUUUUCACGCGUCAUUUUUAAAAUCAUUGAUUUUCCGUAUUUUGAGUCGACGUUGAUAUUGCUCGUUUUCAAAAAAUACAAAAAAAUAAUGAAAAUCAAAAUUUACAAAAAGAAAGAAGUUGAGGGACCAAGUUGAAAAACCUAGCAAAAGUUUUGCCUAUAAAUACUGGUUUCCAACACUUACUAAAGGGGGGGGCAAUUUUGAAACUUCAACAAAAAUACAAAAGAAAAAACCCUAAACCUAUCUUUUGUUUUCUCCAAACAGCCUACCCAAAGGAGCCGCCCCCCCGGUUUGAAAUUUUUUGGAACUUCCAGCCGUUGCUCCUUCUCGCCCAAGGCCCCUUCCCCUCUGGUUUUAUUUUUAUUUUUAUUUUAUUUUUUUCAGCUGGAGCCAAAACAGAGCCGCCCUACUCCCAUUGACAGAGAUAAACUAGCCGGCGGCGCCCCCCACACCUUUUGAUUUUUUCUGAUCUCCCUGCACAAAAGAAAACCAAGCCGCCCCCCCCUUUCCUGGUUUGAAUUGCCCAGCCAUCUUCAUCUUCACCAUAACAGCCCCACACUCCCCCUUUUGAUUUUUUCGUUUCUUCUUCAACCGGCCACAACUGCUUUUUUUUUCUUCCUCACCGAACCCCACUGACCAGCCGAUUGCUCCUCCCCUCACUCCACAGCCGCCGGUCACCAGACCUCCCUCCCCCUCAGCCGUUCCUUCUUCCCUUGGCUAACAGCCUCAUCACCGUUCCCCCCUAUUUUCCUCUCCUGGUCCAGCCCCUGCAUUUACUUCCUUGUUGCAGCCUCCCCACAGCAAACUCCAAUCUGCCUUAAGCCAGCCACAAACUCAUUUCCUUCAACAACCGGCCUAUCUUCUUCCUCCUUCGGUUUCCAUCAACGCCGAUCUUCUUCUCAGCCGACCACACAGACGCCUCCAUCACCAGCCAGCCACCGCAGCCUUCCCAUCAGCAACGGCUGCUUCUCCUUCGGUUGCCUCUCCCAGCGGCGGCCGAACAGCAGCGCCGCUACCACCGAGAGGCUGCCAACCGUUAGCCACAGGCGCCCUGACAGCAGAUCCGGUCACCUGAGACAGACGAGAGGAGGCAGAGAAACGGAAGGAAACAGAUCUAAAAAAGGAAAAAACUUGGGAACGGAUGAAAUAAAACGGAAAUUAAAACAGAUUGUUGUUGCGUUUUUAUUCGUUUUGCAGGUCAGUGUCAUCGCCGGUGAAGAGGGGAGGUUGUGAAUGAACCCCUGCUCACUGUACUUCUCCAGCGGCGGCGCAUGAACCCACGCGCCGCCAGUGACGGUGGCGCGUGGGAAGACGUGCCACCGCCGUUCAGACCAUUCCAGAAGCGUUCCUAUGCAAUUCCUGGAGUUUAGGGGGACUGUUUUGUACAUUUUAAAUUAAUUCAUGUAAUUUUUAUGUUUUUUUGUUUUGAAUUUGUAUUUGGAUUUUGUAAAUAUGGAUGUAAAAGAAAAGAAAAGAAAAAGAAUAGAAACAAAAAUAAAAUAGUGAAAGUGUAUGUGUGUGCUUGUAUUUUUGUUUUAUUUAUUUGUACAUAUUUUUUUAAAUGAUAAAAUUGCAAAUAUAUUAAAGAAGAAUUUAAUAUUUUGAUCGGAUCACGGUUAAGAAUUAUUAACUUAUACUUAAGUGAUAUUUCUAAUUUCCGAAGAAAAGACAAUUAUUAAAACUUCUUUAACACGUAAAAGCCACGAAGCAGCUUACCUCAGGUAGGGUGCGUUAGGGGUGCUAAUACCUUCCCUAACCACAACCAGCCCCUUACCCGCGAAUCUCUGACAAAACCAGUACAUCGGGUUUCCUAGUAGCCCGAAAUCAAUUACUAGGUGGCGACUCCAACGAACCAAAUUCAAACGCAACAACGAGAUAAAUCGCCAGCCGAUGCCGCGCGCUGAUUGAUUUUUUUUUUUUGGGGUGCGACAUCACUUACGUAUAAGUUAAUAAUUCUUAACUGUGAUCCGAUCAAAAUAUUAAAUUCUUCUUUAAUAUAUUUGCAAUUUUAUCCUAAAAAAUAAAUAAAUAAAUAAAUAAAAUAAAAAAAUUCAUAAAACAAAUACAAACACACACAUACACUUUCACUGUAUUUCUUUUCUUUUCUUUUUUUUGUUACAUCCAUAAUACAAAAUACAAAUACAAAUACAAAUACAAAUUCAAAAUAAAUAAAUAAAAAUUACAUUACAUAAUUUAAAAUUUACAAAACAGUCCCUAAAAUUCUAGAAAUUACAGGGAAGGACUUCUUGGGGCUGUAUGCACAGUGCCGGACGCGUGGAUCCACGCACCCCCGCCACUGGCGACGCGUGAAUCCACGCACCACAGCUGAGAAACCCGGCAACCGGUGGAUCCGGCUCGUCUCUGUUUCCUCUUCUUUUCCUCGCCGGCGGUGAAGAUCACCGCCAGCUGCAACAAGAAAAAACACACAAAGAGCAGUCGGUUUUAGUUUUUUAGAUCUGUUUUUAAAUUUUUUUCUUCUGCCAGUUUCGGAUCUGCUCAUUUCUGUUUUCUCUACUCCUCAAGUGCUAGAUCUGGCAAUUGGAAGGAGAUGAAGAAGACGGUGGGGCCGCUGCUGCGUUUGGUGGAGGAGCUGGUGGGUCUGCGGCUGUCGGGUCUGUUCAGUGACCCGGAGAGGGAGACCGAUGAGUCGGCUGAGAGAGGAGGGUGGAAGCCCGUCUGGCUGAUGGUGGUCUGUGGCCGCUACUAGGUAGGCUGUGAGAGAUUGGGCCAAGACCGGCGUUGAUGGGGAGACGAUGGGGAAGUGAAAAGGGAGGCUGGUUUGGGUUCGUGAGGAAAAGGGGCUGUGAGCGGAGAGAGGGAAGAUGGUCGGGCGUGUGGGUUCAGGAGAUGGGUGAAGGAGAUGAAGCUUUGGCCGGAGGCUGGUGAAAAAAUCAAAAAUCAGUGAGGGGCGGUUUGAGCUGCGGUGGAGAGGCAGAGGUGGAAGGGGUUGGUUCGGUUUGCUGCUGUUUGGGGGAGGUUGAGAGUCAAGGACGAAAGACAGAGGGGGGCGGCGGCGGCUCAAGGUGUGGAGAAACAAAAAACCGGGGGUGGCUGUGUUUGGGGUUUUUAGGGUUAGGUUUUUAUGUGAUGUUUCAAAAUUUCCCCCAUGCCUCAAAAUUGCGCCCCCCCCACUCUAAAAAAUCAGUGUAGCAUGGUAUUUAUAGGAAAAAUUUUGCUAGGUUUUUCAACUUGGUCCCUCAACUUCUUUUUUUUACAAAUUUUGAUUUUUUCUUAUUUUUUUGUAUUUUUUGAAAAUGAGCAAUAUCAACGUCGACUCAAUCAAUGAUUUAAAAAUGACGCGUGAAAAGUCGAACGCGUUUGAAAAUCUUUUAAAAAUUUAAAUUCUUUUUUAGACGACGUUGAAAAUGCUAAAAUGACGAGAAUAUAUUAAAAAAAACAUAUUUUUUGGAUUUUCAUUGUUUUUUCUCUAUUUUUGGAUUUUUUGAAAAUAGGUUACCAAGUUCAAGCAAACACAACAAACAAACGAGAAAGAUCGCCAUAGAAGAGAUAAGGCAUGAUUCCACGUGUUGGUAGUGGCGAUACUACAAGUUUUUGGGCGUUGCCAAGAUUACCAAGCUGUUAGAAAGUUUUCUAACAAUCCUCAACCAACCAUAGCAACAUUGGAAGAUUGAAAUAAUGUUGUGAGGAUUUGCCAAAAAAUUGAACAAGCUAUGAAAAGAGAAAGAUUGAAGGAUUUGCCAUGGAUUCUAGAACAAUGAUGAGAGGUGAAUCAGGAGAUGACUUUGACGGUGUGAACCCUUAAUUAUGUGGUAUAGCCAGGUCUCACGGUAGCAUCAAUUGCUCAAAUGUCUUUGCCAAGAUGGGACAUUCCUCUGCCACUUAAGUUUGUCGACCAGCAUCUGCCAGAUUGCAGAAUUUUGCUUGACUCCGACAAAUCCCAUGCAACCACCAAUUUCUAGGUGGUAUAAUCCAAAUAAGAGAUGUGAUGUCAUUAGUGGGGUCCUCAACCAUUUCCAGUGAACAGUUUCAAGAAUUGCAAGAAUUGAGUCUGAAAGUUGGUGAGCAAGAGAAAGUGGAGUCGUGAAGAGGGUGUCAUUGGCUAUAUUGCCCCGAACAUCUUCAGAAUGACAUGUGAUCGAAAGUGCUUGGCAAAACACAGAUAUUGCCAGAAAAGCUGAUUCAAGAAUGGUGAUGAACAUCAAUCAUAUUGUUAUGGAAUUCUGCAUUUUGUUUUGGGAUCACAUCUCAUCCUUCAACGAAACAUGCCUUGCUUUUGUCUCUUUGUUGUUUUGAAAUCAACAGAUGUUUAGCAUUUUAUUCUGACAAAAUAUUUUGAUCAAACUCCAACAUGCGAUAAAGGUUAAUCAAUCCGGAAGAUUAAAAGUGUUUUGAUUACAGAAAUGACUCUAUGCUUGAAAAUGACAUGAGGUGACAAACAAUUUUGAACUCAUACCUCCUGAAACUGAACCACACAUCAUAUAGCUAAGUUUUAACAGUAUGCAUAAUGACAUGUAGUGGAUUCGGUAGUUAUGGACUCGUGAAUCAUGAUUCUUACAAGUCCAAAUCAUUACACUGGAUGAGGUCAAAAUUUAUCGGUUCUAACCGACCUUGCUUGAAAUGAGAAAAGGCCAUCUUUGAUAUCCCUUCACUUUCUAAAGAUUAUAUCCCUUGUAGUCCCAUUUUGAGCUGGUAAAAUAUUUUUUCAAAAAGAAACCCUGACUAGGAUCACACCCACACUGGGGGCAAAUGAGAGAUAUUUUGGAGACAUUGAUAUGAUUAAUGGAUAAAGAGUAAGGCUUAGAACAAAAAUCCAAUGAUUGAGAGAGAGCUAGAAGAAGACACAUAGACUGGGGGCAUAUAAGAAAGUUUUGAGGAAGGCUAUAAAAAAAAAGAAUGAAAAAAGGAAGUUGAAAUUGCCUUCACUUAAAUACAAGUCAAAGAUAAAGGAUGGAGAACGCCUAUCAUGUCUAUGAAAAGCAAAAGAAAUUUCAAUCAAAGAAGGACACAACAAGGAAAGGUGAUUAAGGUUAAAUGUGACUUUUGGUUUCUAUUAUAAAGUUUAUAAUGUUAUCAGAUGAUUAAGGUUGGUUAUUCAUCAAGGAAAGGUGGAUUUGCAUUAUGACUUAUGUUAAGAAAAGUCUGAACUUUGAGGUUAACAAGGUUAUAUGUUAUUUCCUCUACAAAGACAACAAUAGAAAAGAUUUGAUGAAUAGUGGAUGUUGAUCCUAGGUCUUUGAAACCCUCAAACACCUUUUGAGCCUUUGAAAUUCCUUUCUUUCAUAGCCAUGAACCAUAGCCUGCAUUACGUGCUUUUAAAAGCCCUUUUUAAUCAAGCAAGCAAUUUGAACUGAUAAAUGGCGCUCUUAAAACUUGAAGAGCUUUUCCAUAAGGGUCGUGACUUCAUGAAUUAAGCUAUUGGUUAUUAUGCAUGCUGAUAAAACAAGCUAAGAAAAAGAAAAACCUUUCUUGAUAAAGCCUAAGUUUGACUUGUCUUUUUUGAAAUUCAUAAAAGGUCACCUCAUCAUAGACUAUCAAAUGAUAUACCCAAUAUCAAGGAUUCAAAUUGAUACAAAGAACCAUGGAAAAAGCCAUUUUAAUCCUACAUUGGGUCAAUUUCUGUUCCAUGACAAUCAAAGGACUGUAUAUUUCGAAUAACGUGUGUUGGGUCUUUGAUCAAAAAGCUUGAUUUUCAAAAGGCAUUUUUGAAAAGGACAUCUCUGAUUUCAUUUCAACAAAUUAGACUUUGAACAAACAUGAUCUUUGAAAUAUGAGAAUUGAUUCCAAAACAAGGAAGAUUAUCAAACACAGAAGAACAUCGAUUGAGUAUGCAAAAUCAUUGAUAGAAAUGACAUUGAAGUCCUCGACACUCCUUGAAAAGUUGAGCAGCUAGGGCCAAUACAGUAGACCUUGAAAAGGAAAAACAAGCGGUGCUCAGAUCAACUAUGAGGCAAUGAUUAAAUGAUGAAUCGGUGAACUGAAGACAAUGAUGUUCAAAGACAGAUAAUCAAUGAACGAGCACAUUCAGAUCAUCCUGGGGGCAAUGUCAUUCCAAAAUGGCCCAUGCUCUAGUGAACCCUGUCGGCAAUGGAGAAACAAGAUGUACUUGAAGGACACUUUCAUAUCAUCAUCUUUUGAAACAUGGCUAGCAAUCGAUGAAGAUACACAGAUGAAUGUAAUUGAAUGGUGAAAAGAUGCAUACCACCAAGACUGACUGUGGAACAAUGCUGCACUUAAAGGACAAUCUCAUAUUGUCAUCUUUGAAACAUGGUUUAAGAUGUUAUCACACAACUGCAUUGAAUGAAUGUCGGAAGGCACCCACCUCGAAGACUGACUUGGGAUAACUUGUUUUGAAGCCAGAUGAGCGCUUCACCGCAUGAGUAUGAGUGAUAAAAGCAGCAUCAUUGAUGAGGCCAGACAUUUCUUUUCACAAUCUGAUUAGAAGAGUUGAAAGGAAUCUAUUGAGAAGAACACUGAGCAUACAACCAUGAGCCUUUGUACUGCAAGCUAUGAGAUGCAUGUCUGGAUGACUGAUGAUUCCAAGAAGGCUGAUGAUAACAUGUACUUGAAGAGUACUGUUUCAACUAGAGGCAAGAUCAUGACUGAUUGACAAUUUUAAUGGGUGUUGGCACGCACAACCAAUCAAAGGACAAUUCUUGAGAGAAUAUGGAGAUGAUGAUUUGUUCCAUUCCUUCAGGAUGAAUCGAGCAACACCACACUUGCAAGGGGUCAAACUUGAUGAACGAUGCAAGCAGUAAUUGUCGAAGACAGCCCGGGAUGGGCACUGCAUUUACAGCUGAGUGGAUGGCUAGCACAUGAAUGAGCCAAUACAUCGGAAAGAACAAGAAAGCUUUGGAAUGCAAACAAGGCACCCUAUGACGAUGGAGCAUCAAAGAGUGGGGGGGGCUAUAUUUCAAAUCAGGUAAGGAUGCAUGCAUGUCAUCUAACCUAAAAAAAAAAAAAAAUUUGCACAUACUUUUUGAAUUGUUACAGGAAAAUCCUUAAUGAGGUCCAGCAAGAUGGUGGAAAAAGAAAGAAGCAUUGUGGUGAUGAUAAUAAAGAAUCAAUUUUGAUCAUGGAAUAAAAGGGAAGAUGGGAUGAACCCUACCAUUAGGGAAAUCCCAAAGAAAUGAAAAGAUCAACCUUGCAAUCGGGAAGCCUCGAGUUUUCAAAACCUAUGAUCGGGGACUGUCAGGAAGCACCAAGUUUUCCAGCCCUUCUUCUGUCAUCCCCUUAUGACUUCGCCAGGUAAGUCCUAUUUUUCACACUUGUCAUAUCACAUUCUUUCCAUCUGGGUAGGUCGCCCAUCAUAAUAAGACUGUUUUUCAUAUUUUUUUCCAUUUGGGUAGGUCACCCAUGACAAUGAGAUCGCAUUUCAUCAUAUUUUUUUCCAUCUGGGUAGCUCACCCAUUACAAUGAGACCACACUUCAUAUUUUUUCCAUUUGGGUAGGUCACCCAUGACAAUGAGAUCGCAUUUCAUCAUAUUUUUUUCCAUCUGGGUAGCUCACCCAUUACAAUGAGACCACACUUCAUAUUUUUUCCAUUUCUGGGCAGGUCACCCAUAAGAAUGAGACUAUUCUCCAUUUUUUUACUUGGGUAGGUCACCCAUUAUAAUGAGACCACUUUUUACACAUUCUUUUGUUCCAGUUGAAUGAGGUCGCCAGAUGGGAUCUCAUGUAGCUUUGGUUAAAGGGAAUCGCCAGAUGGAGUCUCGGGUUGACCGAGCUACACACAUUCCUUGGUUAUGGUUAAAGGGGAUCGGCGAAGGGAUCUCAUUUUAACCUAAUUGGAAAGGAUUUUGGUUCUGGUUGAAGGGGAUCGGCGAAGGGAUCUCAGUUCAAUCUAACCACACAGACCUUGGUUAUGCUUAAAGGGGAUCGGCGAAGGGAUCUCAGUUUAACCUAAUUGGAAAGGACUUUGGUUCUGGUUCAAGAGGAUCAGCGAAGGGAUCUCAGUUCAGUCUAACCACACAGACCUUGGUUAUGGUUAAAGGGGAUCGGCGAAGGGAUCUCAGUUUAACUUAAUUGGAAAGGAUUUUGGUUCUGGUUGAAGGGGAUCGGCGAAGGGAUCUCAAUUCAGUCUAACCAUACAGACCUUGGUUAUGGUUAAAGGGGAUCGGCGAAGGGAUCUCAGUUUAACCUAAUUGGAAAGGAUUUUGGUUCUGGUUGAAGGGGAUCGACGAAGGGAUCUCAGCUCAGUCUAACCACACAGACCUUGGUUAUGGUUAAAGGGGAUCGGUGAAGGGAUCUCAGUUUAACCUAAUUGGAAAGGAUUUUGGUUCUGGUUGAAGGGGAUCGGCGAAGGGAUCUCAAUUCAAUCUAACCACACAGACCUUGGUUAUGGUUAAAGGGGAUCGGUGAAGGGAUCUCAGUUUAACCUAAUUGGAAAGGAUUUUGGUUCUGGUUGAAGGGGAUCGGCGAAGGGAUCUCAGUUCAGUCUAACCACACAGACCUUGGUUAUGGUUAAAGGGGAUCGGAAAAGGGAUGUUAGUUUAACCUAAUUGGAAAGGAUUUUGGUUCUGGUUGAAGGGGAUCGGCGAAGGGAUCUCAAUUCAGUCUAACCACACAGACCUUGGUUAUGGUUAAAGGGGAUCGGCGAAGGGAUCUUAGUUUAACCUAAUUGGAAAGGAUUUUGGUUCUGGUUGAAGGGGAUCGGCGAAGGGAUCUCAGUUCAGUCUAACCACACAGACCUUGGUUAUGGUUAAAGGGGAUCGGCGAAGGGAUCUCAGUUUAACCUAAUUGGAAAGGAUUUUGGUUCUCGUUGAAGGGGAUCGGCGAAGGGAUCUCAGUUCAGUCUAAUCACACAGACCUUGGUUAUAGUUAAAGGGGAUCGGCAAAGGGAUCUUAGUUUAACCUAAUUGGAAAGGAUUUUGGUUCUGGUUGAAGGGGAUCGGCGAAGGGAUCUCAGUUCAGUCUAACCACACAGUCCUUGGUUAUGGUUAAAGGGGAUCGGGGAAGGGAUCUGAGUUUAACCUAAUUGGAAAGAAUUUUGGUUCUGGUUGAAGGGGAUCGGCGAAGGGAUCUUAGUUCAGUCUAACCACAAAGACCUUGGUUAUGGUUAAAAGGGAUCGGCGAAGGGAUCUCAGUUCAGUCUAACCACACAGACCUUGGUUAUGGUUAAAGGGGAUCGGCGAAGGGAUCUCAGUUUAACCUAAUUGGAAAGGAUUUUGGUUCUGGUUGAAGAGGAUCGGCGAAGGGAUCUCAGUUCAGUCUAACCACACAGACCUUGGUUAUGGUUAAAGGGGAUCGGCGAAGGGAUCUCAGUUUAACCUAAUUGGAAAGGAUUUUGGUUCUGGUUGAAGGGGAUCGGCGAAGGGAUCUCAGUUCAGUCUAACCAAACAGACCUAGGUUAUGGUUAAAGGGGAUCGGGGAAGGGGUCUCAGUUUAACCUAAUUGGAAAGGAUUUUGGUUCUGGUUGAAGGGGAUCGGCGAAGGGAUCUCAGUUCAGUCUAACCACACAGACCUUGGUUAUGGUUAAAGGGGAUCGGCGAAGGGAUCUCAGUUUAACCUAAUUGGAAAGGAUUUUGGUUCUCGUUGAAGGGGAUCGGCGAAGGGAUCUCAGUUCAGUCUAAUCACACAGACCUUGGUUAUAGUUAAAGGGGAUCGGCAAAGGGAUCUUAGUUUAACCUAAUUGGAAAGGAUUUUGGUUCUGGUUGAAGGGGAUCGGCGAAGGGAUCUCAGUUCAGUCUAACCACACAGUCCUUGGUUAUGGUUAAAGGGGAUCGGGGAAGGGAUCUGAGUUUAACCUAAUUGGAAAGAAUUUUGGUUCUGGUUGAAGGGGAUCGGCGAAGGGAUCUUAGUUCAGUCUAACCACAAAGACCUUGGUUAUGGUUAAAAGGGAUCGGCGAAGGGAUCUCAGUUCAGUCUAACCACACAGACCUUGGUUAUGGUUAAAGGGGAUCGGCGAAGGGAUCUCAGUUUAACCUAAUUGGAAAGGAUUUUGGUUCUGGUUGAAGAGGAUCGGCGAAGGGAUCUCAGUUCAGUCUAACCACACAGACCUUGGUUAUGGUUAAAGGGGAUCGGCAAAGGGAUCUCAAUUUAACCUAAUUGGAAAGGAUUUUGGUUCUGGUUGAAGGGGAUCGGCGAAGGGAUCUCAGUUCAGUCUAACCACACAGUCCUUGGUUAUGGUUAAAGGGGAUCGGGGAAGGGAUCUGAGUUUAACCUAAUUGGAAAGAAUUUUGGUUCUGGUUGAAGGGGAUCGGUGAAGGGAUCUUAGUUCAGUCUAACCACAAAGACCUUGGUUAUGGUUAAAAGGGAUCGGCGAAGGGAUCUCAGUUCAGUCUAACCACACAGACCUUGGUUAUGGUUAAAGGGGAUCGGCGAAGGGAUCUCAGUUUAACCUAAUUGGAAAGGAUUUUGGUUCUGGUUGAAGAGGAUCGGCGAAGGGAUCUCAGUUCAGUCUAACCACACAGACCUUGGUUAUGGUUAAAGGGGAUCGGCGAAGGGAUCUCAGUUUAACCUAAUUGGAAAGGAUUUUGGUUCUGGUUGAAGGGGAUCGGCGAAGGGAUCUCAGUUCAGUCUAACCAAACAGACCUAGGUUAUGGUUAAAGGGGAUCGGCGAAGGGAUCUCAGUUUAACCUAAUUGGAAAGGAUUUUGGUUCUGGUUGAAGGGGAUCGGCGAAGGGAUCUCAGUUCAGUCUAAUCACACAGACCUUGGUUAUAGUUAAAGGGGAUCGGCAAAGGGAUCUUAGUUUAACCUAAUUGGAAAGGAUUUUGGUUCUGGUUGAAGGGGAUCGGCGAAGGGAUCUCAGUUCAGUCUAACCACACAGUCCUUGGUUAUGGUUAAAGGGGAUCGGCGAAGGGAUCUCAGUUUAACCUAAUUGGAAAGGAUUUUGGUUCUGGUUGAAGGGGAUCGGCGAAGGGAUCUCAGUUCAGUCUAACCACACAGACCUUGGUUAUGGUUAAAGGGGAUCGGUGAAGGGAUCUCAGUUUAACCUAAUUGGAAAGGAUUUUGGUUCUGGUUGAAGGGGAUCGGCGAAGGGAUCUCAGUUUAGUCUAACCACACAGACCUUGGUUAUGGUUAAAGGGGAUCGGCAAAGGGAUCUCAGUUUAACCUAAUUGGAAAGGAUUUUGGUUCUGGUUGAAGGGGAUUGGCGAAGGGAUCUCAGUUCAGUCUAACCACACAGACCUUGGUUAUGGUUAAAGGGGAUAGGCGAAGGGAUCUCAGUUUAACCUAAUUGGAAAGGAUUUUGGUUCUAGUUGAAGGGGAUCGGCGAAGGGAUCUCAGUUCAGUCUAACCACACAGACCUUGGUUAUGGUUAAAGGGGAUCGACGAAGGGAUCUCAGUUCAGUCUAACCACACAGACCUUGGUUAUGGUUAAAGGGGAUCGGCGAAGGGAUCUCAUUUUAACCUAAUUGGAAAGGAUUUUGGUUCUGGUUGAAGGGGAUCGGUGAAGGGAUCUCAGUUCAGUCUAACCACACAGACCUUGGUUAUGGUUAAAGGGGAUCGGCGAAGGGAUCUCAGUUUAACCUAAUUGGAAAGGAUUUUGGUUCUGAUUGAAGGGGAUCGGCGAAGGGAUCUCAGUUCAGUCUAACCACACAGACCUUGGUUAUGGUUAAAGGGGAUCGGUGAAGGGAUCUCAGUUUAACCUAAUUGGAAAGGAUUUUGGUUCUGGUUGAAGGGGAUCGGCGAAGGGAUCUCAGUUCACUCUAACCACACAGACCUUGGUUAUGGUUAAAGGGGAUCAGUGAAGGGAUCUCAGUUUAACCUAAUUGGAAAGGUUUUUGGUUCUGGUUGAAGGGGAUCGGCGAAGGGAUCUCAGUUCAGUCUAACCACACAGACCUUGGUUAUGGUUAAAGGGGAUCGACAAAGGGAUGUCAGUUUAACCUAAUUGGAAAGGAUUUUGGUUCUGGUUGAAGUGGAUCAGCGAAGGGAUCUCAGUUCAGUCUAACCACACAGACCUUGGUUAAGGUUAAAGGGAUCGGCGAAGGGAUCUCAAUUUAACCUAAUUGGAAAGGAUUUUGGUUCUGGUUGAAGGGGAUCGGCGAAGGGAUCUCAGUUCAGUCUAACCACACAGACCUUGGUUAUGGUUAAAGGGAAUCGGUGAAGGGAUCUCAGUUUAACCUAAUUGGAAAGGAUUUUGGUUCUGGUUGAAGGGGAUCGGCGAAAGGAUCUCAGUUCAGUCUAACUAUACAGACCUUGGCUCUGGUUAAAGGGAAUCACUAGAUGGGAUUUCAGGUUAACCGAGCUACACACCGAUUUUUGUUCUUGUUAGAUUGCCAGAUGGGAUCUCAGGUAAACCCAAUCAAAAGGGAAGGUCACCCGUGAAAAUAGACCAGUGUGAGUGUGUGGGCAGGUCGCCCGUGAAAACAGACCUGUGUGAGAGUGUGGGUCGGUCGCCCCUAAAAAUAGACCAGAGUGAGUAUAUGUGGGCAGGUCGUCCGUGAAUAUAGACCAGUGUGAGUGUGUGGGCCGGUCGCCCCUGAAAAUAGACCACUUUGAGUAUGUGUAGGCAGGUCGCCCCUGAAAAUAGACCAGUGUGAGCGUGUGGGCCGGUCGCCCUUGAAAAUAGACCACUUGGAGUGUGUGUGGGCCGGUCGCCCUUGAAAAUAGAUCGGCGUGAGUGUGUGGGCCGAUCGCCCUUUGAAAACAGACCAGUGUUGGUGUGCGGGCAAGUUGCCCAAGAUAAUGUUUUUUUUCUUUUGUUUUCUUUACAAAAGCUUACUAUGCAAAAUUUUGAGGAGUUUUGCUUCGUAAGCAUUGUAAAGAGGGGGCAUUUGUUGCUACCCAUUUUUUGACCCAUGUUUUUUUAUAUAUUUUCAAAAAAUCCAAAAUAGAGAAAAAACAAUGAAAAUCCAAAAAAAAAUGUUUUUUUAAUAUAUUUUUGUCAUUUUAGCAUUUUUAACGUCAUCUAAAAAAAAGAAUUUAAUUUCUCAAAAAUAUUUUCAAACCCGUUCGACUUUUCACGCGUCAUUUUUAAAAUCAUUGAUUUUCCUCAUUGAGUCGACGUUGAUAUUGCUCGUUUUUCAGAAAAAUACAAAAAAAAUGAGAAAAAUCAAAAUUUUCAAAAAGAAAGAAGUUGAGGGACCAAGUUGAAAAACCUAGCAAAAUUUUUCCUAUAAAUACCAUGCUAAACUGAUUUUUAGAGGGGGGGGAAAUUUUGAUCCAUAGGGCUAAUUUUGGAAACACAAAAUACAACAAAAAAAAACCCUAAAAAAAAAACCAUCACAGCUGCCUUCCCCCCUCCCGGUUUUGAACUUUUUUUUGGAAGCCGCCGCCGCACAAUUGACCCUCCUUCUCCCCGACUGGAACUCCCUUUCACUGCCCCCACACCGGAGCCUCCAUUAGGAGCUUUCUCUUCUCCCUCAACCGAUCGGCCAGCCCCACACUCCCCCUUUUGAUUUUUUAUUUUCUUCUUCUUCAACCAGCCACAAUCGAUUUUUUCCCUUCCUCACCGAACCCCACUGACCAGCCGAUUGUUCUCUCCCCUCUCCCAGCCGGUUCCAUCCCCAUCAUCUUCGUUGAUCUCCAACCAACCAGCCAGAGCAGCCUCCUCCGCACCCCCCACUUUCUCCUCUAAUCUUCUCCACCCGGCCAAACGAAAAGAGAAACGGCGCCCCGCCAUCCUUGGAUUUGGGUUUUUCUUCAGCAGAACGAACCAGCCCCGCGGCUCCUCCUCUCCUCCUCUCCUCCUCAAGCCGAACCCAGCGGCAGCCCCUCGCUGUCUUCCUCUUGGCCUUCCCUCAGUCUCAUCGGGCCGCAGCGUUUCCUCCCUCAACAGAGCCCACAGAACCACCGCCAGACCUGCCUUCUCCACCCCACAAACAAAGCCGGCCACCGCAAGAUCUUCAACCGGCCGGCUACCCGUAGUAGAGGGGAAGGCGAGAAAACCUAUUGAAGAGCAGAUCUGCAAUGAAGCAGAUCUAAAGGAGAAGAUAGAGAGAGAUGAGGCAGAUCCGAAAACAGGAAGAAAAAUGCUUAAAAUCAACUGCCAUUGUUGUGUUUUCUUGGAUUUUGCAGGGGACGGGGUCCUCACGGGCAGCAGCAAAGUGAAGAUGGGAGGAAGGCAUUACAGCACCUCCACGCUGUUGGAUUUCAUGGCGGCGCGUGAACCCACGCGCCGCCAGUGGCGGUGGCGCGUGGGCAAACACGCUGCCACUGUUCAGGCAGACCGAUAAUGCUUCCCAAAAUUGUUUUCAGAGCUUUAGGGUUAUUUUUGUAAAUUUUAAAUUAAUUAAUGUAAUUUUUAUUUAUUUGUUUUGAAUUUGUGUUUGUAUUUGUAUUGUGGAUGUAAAAGAAAAGAAAAGAAAAGAAAUAAAAAUAGUGAAAGUGAAUGUGUGUGUUUGUAUUUUGUUUUAUUUAUUUGUUAUAUUUUUUUAUGAUAAAAUUGCAAAUAUAUUAAAGAAGAAUUUAAUAUUUUGAUCAGAUCACGAUUAAGAAUUAUUAACUUAUACGUAAGUGAUAUUUUUAAUUUCCGAUGAAAAGACAAUUAUUAAAACUUCUUUAACCUAUCAAAUUCGCAAAGCAGCUUACCUCAGGUAGGGUAUGUUAGGGGUGCUAAUAUCUUCUCUAACCGCAACCAGUCUCGUACUCGUGAAUCUCUGACAAGACCAGUACAUCCGAUUUCCUAGUAGCCCGUAAUCAAUUACUAGGUGGCGACUCCAACGAACCAAAUUCAAGCAAACGCAAUAAACAAACGAGAAAGAUCGCCAGCCGAUGCCGCGCGUUGAUUUUUUUUGGGGUGCGACACAUGUUUCUACAUAUAUUCUGGGAUUUAAUAACUGAUUUAUUAAAGUCUUAUAAUUUAAUUAAUAUUUUAAAUUUUCAAAUCACAUCAAACCACAAAGCAGCUUAUCUUAGGUAGGGUGUGCUAGGGGUGCUAAUACCUUCCAUAGCCACAACCAGUCCCUUACCCAUAAAUCUCUGAUCACGACCAGUAAAUCUGGGUUUUCUAGUAACCCUUAAUAAAUACUAGGUGGCGACUCUCAAAAAACCAAUCAAGCAAAGACAAUGAAAAAUCACCAAAGCUAAAUCGCCGCGCGGAUUUUUUGACGUGAGACAAAUGCUGUGAUUUUAUUUUUGGUCUACAGGGUGGUGGUGCCAUUUGUGUUUGGAGGAAGAGAGAAUUGCUCCAUUGGAAAUAAAAAAUUUCCUUUUACCUACCCCUUCCAAUCCCCAUGACGCAUUUAUGCACAAAUCUUCCAAUUCCCAACCCCUUGUUGACGAAAGAUCGAGUGUGUUGAUUCGUCUUGUAGUAUAAAGAGCUGCUUGUACAAAGCCGGCGGUAUAUUUGUAUACAACCAAAAUUCCUCUAACCACCCAAACAGCGGCGAACACCUGCAAUCUUGGGGAAAAGAAGCCGGCAGUUGUAAUUGGGAAGGUAUUUCCAAUGGAGCAAUUCUCUCUUCCACCAAACACAAAUGAAACCUGGUAAUAAAACCAUGAAGAUCAGCUUCAUCACUACUACAGAGAACCUGCUUAACCCAUUUGAAAUACUUGAUGAAUUAAAUUGUAUACCGCUGGCUCUUUAUAGGAGGAGAGCGCAGUACAGUACCCUACAACCAUCGACGUUGCGCGUUCAUCAUUUCAUUCCACGCUAUCGACCAUGUGGUUUGGAUGGAAUUGGUCGUCGUCAUCACAUGAUUUUCCACACAUAAUAAAGUCUUCUUUAUUUGGCUUAUUGUCCCAUUGAUUCUUCGAGGAAAUUCCCAAGUUUUAGCAUUACAUCAUGCAUAGUGCCAGGAAAUUCCGUCAUCAUGCAUAGUGCCAGCAGGAAGAUCAUCAAUUCAAUGGUCGGCAACACAGCAGAAAGAUCAUCAUGCAUAGUGCCAGGAAAUUCCGUCAUCAUGCAUAUCGCCCCCCUCUGUGACGUUCCUUUUACUUUUCACUUUGCCUUGGAAUGACAAUAAAAAAUAUCGGAAUAUCGAGAUUUAAUCUUGUAUUACUAAUUUUAUUUUUUUUAUUAGAUCAUAAAAUGACUUUCUUAAAUUACUUAUAAGAAAAGCGAUUACCUCCCAAAUCAAGAUACUCCAAAUUGCUCAGUUUCAGCACUUCAUCCUCACCACCUGUAAGAAAUAAUUGUACAAGGUUUGAUGUAAAAAUAGCGAAACAGUGAAAAGAUAAUGCAUAACUCAAAAAUCUUUCGUACCAUGAAGGGAUUUAAACCCUUCAAUGUGAUUGCUCUCAAUACGCAGAUUCCUUAAGUUUGUCAGAUUAUUCAAUCCUGGCAAUACGUAGAACAUAAAUGAAUGCUAUAUAUAAUUGCUUUGGAAUCAUGAUUGUGUUUGAGACACUUAGUUUAAAAACUGAGAUGAGAAGAGCCAGGCUCACCUUCCACGCUAAUUGUUCCUUCGAUUUCAUUAUUGUGUAGAAAUAAAUAUUUCAAAGAUGAAAGACCACUUAAGGAUGAAAAGAUGCUGCUGUUGAAUUUGUUUUGCCCUAACUGGAGUAUCUCCAAAUUGCCAAGGACUGAUAGUCUUUCAAAACCUGCAUGAGAGUGCAUGGUUAGCGUUUAAGCAUUAAAGUUAUAAAACUUGUAUCAAUUUCUAAAAUUGCAGCUAAGAGGCAAACCUUCAUUCUCAACACAUCCUGCAAUACGAUUUCCAUACAAGUAAAGAGCGUUCAGCUCUGGGAAUGGAAGAAACAAAGACGCAUUCAGGAGCCAGUCUCCCAGCUCCCAACCCCUUGAGAAAGAAAGGUCUAUUUCGACAACUCGAAGUGUGCUGGAGUUGCAGUGGACUUGUUUCCAUUCGCAGCAGUACUUAGAAUAUCUUCGCCAGGAGAGCAGGAAUCCGCCAUUUGGGUAACUAAAGGCAUCUUUGAUUUGCAAGAGAGCAAGUCUUUCUUCCUCCAAGCAACCAUGGCACCGCCACCCUUGUAUUAAAACCAAAUUUAUAAUCAUUAUCACUGCUAAACACAGCCUGUUCAACUCCAUUCGAAGAACUUUGCUAUUAGUAAAUUCUCAGAAAAAAAAUACAAAAUACACCUCUGUCGCCAUAGAAAGUAACUGUCAGAGGUUCUCUUAUAGGAUAGGAUAGCGCAAAGCUUACGUUUUUACAAGACCACGGUGUAGAGAAAUUAACGAGAAUCACUCCGCGUAAUGUUCAACAGAUUUUCUUUUAUUGUUUAUUUUUAUUUUUACUUUCAAGUACGUAUGCAUAAGAUCUACUUUGUUUGACUUCUCAUUUAUUGGUUUCAGACUUGGCAGCGUUUUCUUUAAGAAAAAGAGGAGAAAUUAGAUAUAUGCCCUGUUACUGCUGCAUUUACUGUGGUGCGUGCCUCAACUGGACUGUACAUAGUUCAAUUAAUUACAAAAAUUGAAACAAAAGGGACAAGAUUUUAACACUCAAAAAAAAAACAGCUUUUUCUAUUGUUCAUCGGACAUGGAAUACUAUAGUUUUAUCCUUGAAAUUUUUAUUAUUUGUUUUCUAUGUUUUGAAUGUUUCUUGUUUCAUUUGUAAACUUUAUUUGUUUUUAAUAAAAAGAAAGUCAUUGAAAAAAAAUAAAAAGAAAUGAUUGAUUAGCUAUAUUUUAGCCAUAAAAAAAAAUUAAUUUUGAUGUUAAUAAGUUCGUAUUGAAUAAAACAAUUUAAUAGAGAUAAUAGUGUUUUUAUUUUAAAAUUACAACAAUAAUGCUUCUCAUAAAAUAAAAAAAAUAUACAUGAUUUCAUCAAAAUAAAAAUAAAAUGUUUGAAUAAAAAAAUUAGAUUUUGAUUAAAAAUAUGUUUUUUUUUCUUUUUUAGUUAAGGAUAAAUGUUGUUUUUCUGAAUAUUUCCUUGAUUGUUGUUUCUUUUUAUUUAAUAAACUAUACCGCUAAUAAAAGAUUAUUUUGUUGUAAAAAAAUCAUUCCAAUAAAAAAAAAAAUUAACAAAGAGAUCCGGUGUUUCCUUAUGAAGGGCCCAAACCCCAUGUGCAAAGUCAAUCCUGGAGCAUCCUUUUCUUAUCUAUGAUUGAAGCUCUACGCCUUGACUCGAAGUCAUCAUCAGGUCAAGCGAUGAAUGAAUGCAGCUACCUUCUUCUUCUUCGUCAUAGCGUGUAAUUUUCCACAACCACUAACAAGACUGACAGCCACUGCAUUAUUCUCGGCCGUAGGGAACACGUCGCUUGCGAUGACCAGUUCAUCUGUCUCUUGUAAAAAGUAAAGAGUAUAGCUUGUUGGCAAAUUGGUCUCUCUGUUAUAUUAUAAAUUUCAUGAUACUUAACCUGCUAAUUUCAAAUCCCAUACCUCUAAGUUUUAGAAUAGUGUGUUAUUAUUUGGGUUGUUGUUUUUUAUUUGAAAAUAUAUUAAAUAAUAUUAUUUUUUAAUAUUAAUAUAUCAAAACGAUUUAAAAUUAAAAAAAAACUUGAAAUCAAGAAAAAAUAAAAUAAAAAUAUAUUUAAAAAAACUUUUAAAAUUAAUGCAAAAACAAAAGCCACGGUCACAGCUUUUUUAAAAUUUUAUUAUGAAUGGGUUCAAGUUUGACUAAACUAAUGUUUCAUACCGUCCAAUAACAAAUCUAACACUAAUAUAAUGGGAUUUCAAAGUGAACAGAUCAAACUAGGUUUCACAUCUAUGAAAAAUAACCUACUAAGAAAAUUCACAAAAACUAUAAAUAAAUAAACAAAUAACUGAUUAGUUUCUGCUGACUGGAUCAUGUUUAGACUACUAGGAACAAGCUUUCUUCAUAAGAGUGGAAAUCUGAAAUCUUAAAGUGUGUAUUUAACCAUUUGAAUCUCCCACAAAAAAAGUUUAUCUUUUUUGACCUGUUACUGAAAGCAUUCAGUUGUCUAUUUCUCUUUGAAUUUUAGUUGUGUACGCGUUAUGUCAUUUUCUACAAACACUUAUUUCAUAGUGUAAUUAUAAAUGUUUUUUAAAUAAUUUUUUCUAUCAUUAUUUUGUUAUCUUUGUUGAUGCUUAUACUAAAUAUGUAUGGUAUUAUCCUCUCGUUGCCAAGUCUGAUGUUUACUCUGUUUUUUUAUCAAUUUCAGACUCUUGUCAAAUGUUAAUUUUCAUUAAAAAUUAAAUCUGUUCAAACUGAUUGGGCAGUGAAUACCGAAAACUAUCCAUAUUUUUUCAGACCAUUGGUAUUCAUCAUCGUCUGAUUUGUCCCCACACUCAUGAACAAAAUGGAAUAGUAGAGCGUCGUCAUAGGCAUAUUGUGGAAACAGGUCUUACUCUUUUAUGGCAAUGUAAAACACCUUUUCGAUUAUGUAAUUAUGCUUUUGAAACCUUUAUUUAUCUUAUAAAUCACAUGCCUACUCCUGUUCUUGCCCAUCGCUCUCCAUUUGAUUGUUUAUUUCAAUGGUCUCCUGAUUAUCAUUUUUUGCAUACCUUUGGGUGUCUCUGUUUUUCUUUUUUGCGUCCAUAUAAUAAUCAUAAAUUGGAUUUUCGUUCCUCUCCAUGUGUGUUUUUUGGAUAUAGUUCCUCGCAUCUUGGUUAUCGAUGUCUUGACAUUGCAUCUCACCGUAUUUAUAUUUCGUCAUGUCCGCUUCCAUGAACAUGUGUUUCCAUUUGAUAAUUCUAAACAGAUUGCAAAGGUCUCCACCACAACCCCCACCCACCCACUACUGUCACCCUCCCAAAUUUGCUAAACCACCCACCACCACCCACUUUUACCAACCACCUAAACAGCCUAUAGCACUCGGCUCUUCAACUCCAAAUAGCCACCCGACCACAACCCCCACCCAUCCUUUGGCCAUCAUCCCAUGCUUGUUUAUCUAACCCUUAUGAUGCUGGUUCAAAUCGUCAAUUACUCUCAUCUUCUCAUGGUCUUGGGGCACUUUCUAGUCCCUUCUCUACUUUGCCCUCCUUGACCAGCAUUCCUGCAGCUUCAGUCUCUACUUCCAGCCCCUCCUCUGCUGACAGUCCUGUGCUUGAGGCUGCUUCUUUAUCAUCCUCUCCCGUGGUCUGCAACUUAUGGUUGAUUUGUCUUCUUAUCAGCUGCCACAGGUCUCCUCGCUACAACCGUCUUCCCCUGCGUCUCCACCAGCACACAGCAGACAUCCUAUGACUCUUAGACCGGGCAGCCGAAGACAGCUAAUCUGGUUGCUUCCGCUGCCGUACUUCUACCUCCACACGGGUACUGUAUUCUCCCUCUUCUGAGCCUUUUGCAUUCUCUGAUGCUGACCGGUAUGCAGUUUGGCAUAAUGCUAUGUGUGAUGAGAUCGCCGCUUUACGCGAAAAUCGCACUUGGUCUUUGGUUCCAUUUCAUCCUUCGAUGAACGUUGUUGGCAGUAGAUGGGUAUAUCGGAUCAAACGUCGUGUUGAUGGUAGUAUUGAGCGCUAUAAAGCGCGCCUUGUUGCUAGAGGUUUUACCCAGCAGGAAGGUAUUGAUUAUUCUGAAACCUUCAGUCCAGUUAUUAAGCAGGCCACUGUCCGAUUGGUUUUCUCUAUCGCGGUUUCGCGAAAUUGGAAGAUUCAUCAGCUUGAUAUUCAUAAUGCCUUCCUCAAUGGUGUUCUUACUGAAGAGGUCUACAUGAAACAGCCUCCAGGUUUCGUUGACUCUUCUCUCUCAUGUGUGCAGAUUGCACAAAUCAUUGUAUGGUUUGAAACAGGCACCGAGAGCAUGGUACACUCGUCUAAGUGAUUUUUUGCUCUCCAUCGGUUUCCGAGCUUCCAAGGUUGACACCUCCCUGUUUAUCUUAUCUGAUGGUACUAAUAUCUUUUAUCUCCUGGUGUAUGUUGAUGAUAUUCUGCUCACGGGUAGCAACUCUGCUAUGCUCCAUCACCUUAUACAGUUACUCAGCUCUGAGUUCAAGCUUCGUGACUUAGGUGUUGUUCACUACUUUCUGGGUAUUGAAGUUCAGUCUACCAGUAUGGGUUUAAUGUUGCGUCAACAUAAAUAUAUUCUUGACAUCCUCACCCGAGCUGGUAUGACUUCCUGCAAACCAGUUGAUACUCCAGUCUCCCCUUCGAAAGUCAUUUUAUUACCAUCAUUCAUUCUCUGAUCCUACACGAUUUCGUCAAAUCGUGGGUGCUCUUCAAUAUCUUACCUUCACCCGUCCAGAUAUAUGCUUUGCUGUUAACAGAGUCUGUCAGUUUAUGCAUGCUCCUACAGAUUCUCAUUGGGCCGCUGUCAAACGUAUUUUACGCUAUCUUAAAGGUACGACAUCUUAUGGUUUCCAUAUCACUCGAGGCUCCUCUUUUGCUCUACAUGGCUUUACAGAUGCAGAUUGGGCUGGUAGUAUUGAUGAUCGCAAGUCUACGGGCGGCUAUCUUGUCUUUUUUGGUCAGACGCCGAUUUCUUGGAAAUCCGGCAAGCAACGCACUGUUGCUCGCUCCUCUACUGAGGUUGAGUAUAAAGCCCUUGUUGAUGGUACCCCUAAAUUCAUUUGGCUUCAAUACUUGUUAACAGAUUUGCAGGUUCCCUCAGUCUCUGCUCCUACCAUUUAGUAUGAUAAUCUUGGUGUUGCUACCUAUCUCUCAGCAAAUCCUAUCUUCCAUGCUCGUACUAAGCAUGUUGAAGUGGAUAAUCACUUUGUCCGUGAUCGUGUUGCCAAGAAAGAAAUUUAGAUUCGUUUUGUUCCCUCUCGAGAUCAACUUGCCUAUCUCUUCACUAAACCGCUUCUUGUUGCAUCCUUUACUGCUUUUCAGUUCAAGCUCCGGGUUGAUCCUCCAUCCUCAACUUGAGGGGGCAUAUUAUAGAAUAGAAAAUUAAUAUAGGAUGUUGUAAUCAUUACAGUUACUCAUGUAUCUAUCAUAAUAGGAAAUUAAUAUAGGAUGUUGUAAUCAUUACAGUUACUGCAGUGUUCUGUUGCCUCUAUAUAAAUAAAAAGGUUGGCUAAGGCACAACCCAACACAUUACAUUAUUCUCAACUCUAUUGAACUCCACAUUGCAUGCACAUUCUUUGGUUUUGAUCUCUUGUUUUUCCUCUAUUUUUGGCUUGGAUUUUUACCUUUAUCUCUCACAUUUUUAGAAAUGAGUGAAAGGUCUCGUCCUCUUUAAAAAAUGAAACAACUUUUCUAGUUGAGAUCUCCUCCUAGUAAGGUAUAUGAUGAUGAAAAGUGAUGCAUAUAUAACCUUUAAAUUUGGUUUUUGCUAAGCCGAAUAGGAAGUGGAAGUUUUAGUUUGCUUUUACUAAAGGGUAGUAAAAGCCGUCUUAAAAGUUAAUACUCGAGAAUUUUCAAGGCACCACAAGGAGACCUGAGAAAAGCUUUGCUGCCUCGUUAUCAUAUAUAUAGCCUGCCAGGUGACCUGAGAAAAGCUUGUUGGCAAAUUGGUCUCUCUGUUUUUUUUUUUAAAUACAAAAACAAAUAAAAAGACGAUGUAGCUAAGUUAGAAUUGACAUUGGUAGGAUUUGAGAAUUUCUUGAUAAAUAACCUUCUCAAGUUUCACCUAACCCAUAAUCCAGGAUUUGCUCCAGAUCAACCUUGGAUAGGGUUCAAAAACCAUGGUGAAAAGUAAAAGGAACGUAACAGAGAGACGAGAGUCAUGUGUGUUACCAGCCAUUGAAUUAAUAUUGAUGUAAAGCAAAAACUUGGGAAUUUCCUCGAAGAAUCAAUGGGAUAAUAAGCCAAAUAAAGAAGACUUUAUUACAUAUGGAAAAUCAUGUGAUGACGACGACCAAUUCCAUCCAAACCACAGGAUCGAUAGCGUGGAAUUGAAUUCCAGUGCCAUACAAGUGGGCUGUUUAAUACAAUUCAUGAACGAACACUUUCUCAACUUUUUCAAUGUAAAAGACAACAGUAAAUUAAAUCGAUCUGCUACUACAGCAACAACAAUCAUAAGAUCAAGUGUGUUGAUUCGUCUUAUAGUAUAAAGAGCAGCUUGUACAAAGCCACUGGUAUACAAUUUAAUUCAUCAAGUAUUUCAAAUGGGUUAAGCAGGUUCUCUAUAGUAGUGAUAAAGCUGAUCUUCAUGGUUUUAUUACUAGGGUGGUGGUGUCAUUUGUGUUUGGAGGAAGAGAGAAGUGCUCCACUGGAAUAAUUGACAAAGUGAUCCUGGAGCAUCCUUUUCUUAUCUAUGAUUGAAGCUCUACGCCUUGACUCGAAGUCAGCUGAGGAAAUCUAAACCAUCUUUUUUUCAGCAGACUUUUUAGAUGGUUCUUGAUACACAUGACGAAGAACACGCAAUCAUCCGUUUAUAAACGCCAAGAUAGUAAAAUGUGUUUUCCAUAGGAGGAAAAAGCCUUGCGGGCACAUCGUGGCUGGCAAUUUUGACCACUGUUAACAGCUUUCUUUUCUUUUUGUCUUAGCAGGUGGCCCAUCGAGCCAUCAUCAGGUCAAGCGAUGAAUGAAUGCUGUAACCUUCUUCUUCAUCAUAGCGUGUAAUUUUCCACAACCACUAACAAGGCUGACAGCCACUGCAUUAUUUUCGGCCGUAGGGAGCACGUGGCGCGCGAUGACCAAUUCAUCUGUCUCUUGUAAAAAGUAAGAGUAAAAUGCAAGAUUUUUCAAGGUGUUCUUCAGCGGUCCCCAGAUCUUGGGGUCGGGGUUUCAUCAAUCAACCUGUGGGUUGUAUUAUAAUAGCUUGUUGGCAAAUUGGUCUCUCUGUUAUUUUUUUUAAAUGUAAAAACAAACAUGCUCUUGAUAGCCACGGUGAAUGCUUUUUAAAAUUUUUAUUAUGAAUGGGUUCUAGUUUGACUAAACUAAUGUUUCAUACCGUCCAAUAACAAAUCUAACACUAAUAUAAUGGGACUUCAAAGUGAAUAUAUCAGAUCAAACUAGGUUUCACAUCUAUGAAAAAUAACCUACUAAGAAAAUUCACAAAAACUAUAAAUAAAUAAACAAAUAACUGAUUAGUUUCUGCUGACUGGAUCAUGUUUAGACUACUAGGAACAAGCUUUCUUCAUAAGAGUGGAAAUCUGAAAUCUUCAAGUGUGUAUUUAAACCAUUUGAAUCUCCCACGAUUUGUCCUGAGCUUCUGGACCUAGCUAGUCCCAUCAUGAACUCUGCUGUUUCUUUCAUUCCUAGCUCCAUAUACAGUUGAGUGGCAGAGAUAAUUGUAUAAUAGCUAUAGAUUUUAAAAUCAGGAAAAUGAUGAGAAUUGCACACAUUCUUCAAGUGGUAUAUAUAGGUAGCAUUAUGUUUAAUUUGAAUUCAAAAAACAGAUGGAAUCUAUUCUGUUUUGAUUCAAAUAAAAAAUUGAAAGAAAUAUAAGCUAGCAUAAAUUUCAAAAUAACAACUGGCAAAUAAGUCUCGGAAGCAAAAUAUUCUGGAGAUUUAACAUUGUCCCAUGAAUUUCAGCUUGUCAAUCACCCACAUGUCUGCAAAUUCCACACAUCUGCAACCGAAAUCUCCAAAUUGCACGAGAGAAUUGCACCAUUGGAAAGGUACAAAACUCUAUUUUUCUUGCAAAUAUAGCUGCUAGUUGCUACUGGGCCCCACAAGGUUCAUCAAAGCACACAACAAAAAUCAACCAUUGUUGUCUUGUCCAUGCCUUUGGGUCCUGGAACUCGUUUCUCUUUCAAACAUGAGAAAGUAAGUAGUUUUAACAAAUCCUCAAGUCUAAGGAAGGGGGGGACUAUAUGACUAGUAAAGGAACUAAUCUACAAAGCAUAAUGAAAAGAAAUGAUUCGUUCUGUUGCAGCCUUGUUAAAUUGAAAAAAAAUUAUUGUUUUUUUUUAUUUGAUAAGUUAAUAUUAAAAAUUUUAAAAAAUAUUUUAAUAUAUUUUCAAGUAAAAAAUAUUUACACCAUAAUAUCAUACAUUCAUUUUAUAUUAAAAUACAAUAUUAAUUAACUAAUUAUACUAUUAUUAUUAAAUUCAAUUUGACUCAAGAUCAUAUUAUUUUAAAUUUAUUGUUUUUUUAUUAUUUGAUAAGUUAAUAUUGAAAAUAUAAAAAAUUAAAAAAUAUAUUUUUAAGUAAAACAAAUUUACAUCAUAAUAUCAAAUAUGCAUUUUAUAUAAAAAUACAAUAUUAACUAUCUGAUUAUAUUAUUAUUAUUAUUAUUAUUAUUAAAUUCAAUUCGGCUCAACAUCAUAUUAUUUUAAUACCUAUUUCAUACUGAACUUUUAUAUAUAUAUAUAUAUAUAUAUAUAUAUAUAUAUAUAUAUAUAUAAAGGCAUCGUUUAUUUGCUGGAAAAUAGUUUUCUUUUGAAAAGUGAAUUCUGAGAAAGUAUUUCCCAAUGUUUGGUAGUGUGAUAGAAAAUAAGUUGAAAAACACUUUCCAGUGUUUGGUUAUGUUAUGAAAAAUGAGCUGGAAAAUAACUUAUUAAUAUUUUAUUUUUCUUAAAUUUAUUAAAAUAACGAUGAACAAAUCUUACAAAUUAAAAUGUUGAAUGAGAAUAAAAUUGAAAAAAAUAUAAUUUCAUAAAUUAUCUCAAAUAAAAUAAAUAAUAAUCAAAAUAAUAAAGAUCAAAUCCAUAAAAAAAAAAAAUGGAAGAUGAAGAAAUUAAAAUAAUAAUAAUUAACAUUUCAUAAAUUAUUUCAAAUAAAAUAAGUAACAAUCAAAAGAAUGAGGACCAAAUUUGAUAGAUAAAAAACUUUAAUUAAAAAAUGAUAAGGAAAAAUCAAAUAGUAAUUAUAAAAAUGAGGACCAAAGUUAAUAUAAAAAUUAAAUUAUAAGGGAUGAAAUUGAAAAACAAAUAUUCAAAACAAAAUAUAUAUAGCAAUCAAAAGUUUGAGGACCAAAUUUGAUAUAAUUAGCAAAUAAUAUGAUAUUUUUAAAUUUUUCACAACUUCCAGAAAGUGUUUUCCAUCCAAAAUAAAAAGAAAACACUUUCCUAAAAACCAAGUUAAAUUUUUCUUUAACGGGAAAGUGUUUUUUUAUUAACCAAAAAGUGUUUUUUAUUGACUAACUUUUCUAAUAACAAAUAAAUAUAAAAACUUUUAAAAAAUAAUUUCUCAAAAAUAAUUUUAUAAAUUAAAGAAACGAUUAGUGAAACCUAAAUGAUUAAAAAUCUUCACUGCAGCUUUUGGUCCACAAAGCAAAGUUGUUAAUACCGUUCCGUUUCGGCCGGAAUGCCCGGAACAUCUCGUACCAGUUAAAAAAACGAAAUAAAACGGAACAAGUUUCACCUCGCUUAAAAUCUCGGGUUGAUCCGGAAAUUCCGGUCAAAUUUCGGCCGGAACGUUCCGGCCGAAAUCCAGGUGUUCCGUUUCGGGUUAAAGCCAUCGAGUCAAAGACUCGAAAUUAAACUCGGUUUCUUUUUAUUAACUGCACAGUACACCCAGAGUUAAGGUGCGAUCUCUUUUCUCUUUUCUCUGUUCAAGUUCAAUAAACUAUAAAAACGUCCUUCCAGCACUGACCCUUUGUGCAGAUAAAUUAUUCUCCUUCAAAGAUACUACUUUUACAUAAUGGUAUCGUCAUCGAUCAUGUAAUUUGUACUUGUUUAUCAUGGGUCAAAAAAUAAUACUCUAGUGCUUGUCGUUUCUUGGACAAUUAGCAAUAUUAAUCUCCAAAUGGGAGGAUGAUGACACACUAAUUUCAAAUUGCAAAGCCUCUGAUCCUUGUCGUUUUAAUUUGAAACUUUGAAAAUAAAUAAAUAAAGUUCUUGAUUGUUAACCACGCCAAAGCUUUGAAUUCUACACAUAGCAGGCAGAAUUAUGUUCUUUAAUUACACACAAGAAAGUUCCUAAUUAUUGUCAUCUCAUUGUCAGUGGCAGUGAUUAAUUAAUUUGUUGUGGUAUUGAACAACUUCAAAAUUAUAUUUAAUUUUGACUAUUUAGAAAUAUUUUAAAUUUUAAAAUUAUGCUGCUUGACAUUAUGUUUGUACUUUGUAAUGCAUAAUUUAUCUUGAAUUUGAAUUAUAUUUGUUGAAUAUAUAUAUAUAUGAACAGUAUAACUCCGAAACGGCACGCCGAAACGCUUCGAAAUCGAAAUAUUCCGUUUCAAUUAAAAAAACAAAACACCUACCAAAACAGAAUUGACAACCUUACCACAAAGCGAAGGAUUUCACUCGUAGCUAGACUCUUUGAAUUUUCUACUACGUAUCAUUAACACGACUGACACUGAUGGCACUGUUAAAGUUUAUCAUGUAUAUUCUCCCCUUUGUACCCAUCAUAUUUAUUAUUUAUUAUUAAAUUAAAGUUAAAAUAGCAACUUGUUUAUGUGUGGUUGAGACGACUUACGUGGCUUAAUUUGACACGGAAUCUCAAGACUGACUCUUUGAAUUUUCUACUACCAUUAACAUAGACUGACACUUGGGUCAUGACCAGAGAGGUUGCAUUCGUCACUGAAAACAUUCAUUUGUCUUUUUUUUCUUUGAAUUUUAAUUGCGUACGCGUUAUGUCAUUUUCUACAAGCACGAGCUUGAUUGAUAAUAUAAUUAUAAUUUUUUUUUAAAUAUAUAUUAAUAAUUUUUUAAUUUUUUUAAAAUUUAUUUUUAAUAUCAAUAUAAUAAAAUAAUUUAAAACGUUAAAAAUAUAUUAAUUUAAAGUAAAUAAAAAAAUAAAAAAAUUAUUUUUUUUUAAAAAUACUUUUAAAAUAUAAUAUAAAAAUAACUAAUACCGAUGGAGCACUAUCUUUGCCGUAGGGAAGACAUUGCAUGGAAAAACCAUUUAAUUUGUCUAUUUCUCUAUUAUUGUAGAAAACAAAAAAAGUAAAAAAAUAUUCACACGCAAAAUAAUAUACCGUAAAACAUUAUUUUUUUCUAUAUGUUCCGGGUUUUCGUAUCACAAUACAAACUCAUUCAUAUCCAGCCAUAAGAAGAGGAAUUGCUCAGAAAAAUUCUGAUAUAAAAUUUAAAUGAAUUAUUUGUGCGUUUCUCUUGAAAACAACCCAAUUUAUAAGAUAAGAUAUAGUCUUUGAAAAAAAAAAUUAAAGGUGUUGAUGGAUAAAGCAGGGGUUAAGUGGGUUCAAUGUGAGUUUGGAGAAUUGGAGGAGAUAGUCACCACCCUCUAUAAAUUUUUUGAUUGAGAGAACUUUAAUUAUCACAUAAAUAAUUUUAUUUAUAUACCCUUUUUGAAAAACUUAUUAAAACUUUUCCCCUAGAUCUAUGAUCUAUUUCUAGUUUGCCAUUAUAUGGGUUUAAAUUGGUAAGAAAAUAAAAUCAUAGAGGGGUAAAAAUCUUAGCAAGAUCCAUACUAAAUUUCUGCAAUUCUAAAAUUGUUUAAAAACAUAAAUAAGCCAUAAAUGGGUUGUAAUUUUCGCCAAAUGAUAUGGAUUUUUAAUUUUUGGAAUAUAAUAAAUCUAGAAAAGAGGACAGUUUCAAGAAGGGCUAUUUAUUAUAAACAUGAAGGGCUAAACUAAACUAACACUAAACUAUGAGGGUUUCCUUAAACUGUUAAAGAAAUUAAUCUAACAGUAAUAUAAUGGGAAUAUAUGACUAGUAAAGGAACUAAUCUACAAAGCAUAAAUGAAAAGAAAUGAUUCGUUCUGUUGCAACUUUGCUCGGUAGAAACGUUGGAAAAAAAAGCGGAGCUGGGCUGCAAGGACAAAGUUGCAGUCUUGUUAAAUUGAAAACAUUUUAUUGCUUUUUUUAUUAUUUGAUAAGUUAAUGUUAAAAAUUUUAAACAAUAUUUUAAUAUGUUUUCAAGUAAAAAAUUUUACACCAUAAUAUCAUACAUUUAUUUUAUAUUAAAAUACAAUAUUAAUUAACUAAUUAUACCAUUAUUAUUAAAUUCAAUUUGACUCAAGAUCAUAUUAUUUUAAUUUUUAUUGUUUUUUAUUAUUUGAUAAGUUAGUAUUGAAAAUAUAAAAAAUUAAAAAAAUAUUUUAAUAUAUUUUUAAGUAAAAAACAUUUACAUCAUAAUAUCAAACAUGCAUUUUAUAUUAAAAUACAAUAUUAACUAGCUGAUUAUAUUAUUAUUAUUAUUAUUAUUAUUAUUAUUAUUAAAUUUAAUUUGGCUCAACAUCAUAUUAUUUUAAUACCUAUUUCAGACUGAACGUUUAUAAAAAAAAUAUAUAUAAAAAAUUAAAGAAACGAUUAGUGAAACCUAAAUGAUUAAAAAUCUUCACUGCAAGACUCUUUGAAUUUUCAACUACCAUUAACAAGACUGACACUGAUGGCACUGUUUUUGCCGUAGGGAAGACAUUGCAUGCGAUGACCAUUUCAUUUGUCUAUUUCACUAUUAUUGUAGAAAAAUCCUUUGUACCCAUCAUAUUUAUCAUUUAUAAUUAAAUUAAAGUUAAAUAAAAACAUUAUUAGACUGAUAUUGAUGGCGCACUGUCUUUGCCGUAGGGAAGACAUUGCAUGGAAAGACCAUUUCAUUUGUCUAUUUGUCUAUUAUCAGUGAAUUUUAACCGGGUCAACAACUAGUUAAAUCACCCGGAAUUUUAACUUCCCCUGUUUAUUUAAAAUCCUUCCAACCUCAUAUCAGCCUAGUCCCAAGUCCCGCGGUGGGGCCGUAUUUCAGAACUACGGAGGAAACGCUAACAGCCUAGCACUUUCCACGAAGAAUAUGAAUUUGGAAAAUAAGCCGAAAGAGAGGACUUUGUCUAUGGCCCGUGGAAAAUUAUGACAUUUGAUUGUGAUAUUGCAAAUUGCAGUCCAACGAUCUUAUUUAUAAAGAGCCUCUGACCGUUGUUUUUCGAUACAUAAUUUCAUCGAGGAGUCCAAAUGGGUUUAAACAGGUUCUCUUCUUUAGCAGGGACACUGAUGAUUUAUGCUAUGGUUUUGUCAGAAAGCUGGUGGUCAUGUCACGGGUGUUUAGACGAAGAGAGAAGUGCUCUCUUGGAUUAAAGCUCCUUUAAUUACCAAUCUUCCUUCAAUCUUGGGGAAAAGUAGCCGACUGUUGUUCUUGGAAAGGCGUUGACUGCAAUCUCACUACAGGACGAGUUGUCGUACUUGAUCUUUCAGGCAAAAGGGAAGAGGGAUUGGGAGAUUUGUACCUAAAUGUCUCUUUGUUUCGUCCCUUCCAAGAACUGCAACAUCUUGAUUUGAGUGGAAAUUUUAUAGUUGGCUGUGUUGAGAAUGAAGGUUUAUCUCUUGUUUGCGUGCUACUGCAAUUUCAACAGCAAAAAAAAAGAAGAAUAGAUUCUAUAUUCUUCAAGCUACUGAUUGAAAUGCCCAUGCAGGUUUUGAAAGACUAUCCGGACUUGACAGCUUGGUGUUUCUCAAUUUAGGCGUAAACAAAUUCGACAACAGCAUCCUUUCAUCCCUUGGUGGGCUCUCCUCUUUGACAACCCUGUAUCUAGUCGGUAACCAACUCAAAGGAGCAAUUAGUGUUGAUGGUAAUUAAGCUUGAUCACUUCUCUCCUUUUCUUUCCCAAAUAAAACCAUGUUAAUUACUGCCCUUUUUUUAAUUGUUGUACUUGGUACAAUUAUAUGUGGCCAGAACUAAAUAAUCUAACAAGCUUGCGGUCGUUGGAGUUUGGUGGCAAUGAAAUUGAAAGCUUUAAAUCCAUUCAUGGUAUGAAAGAGUUGUGAGUUGAUUGAGCAUUUGUUUUCACACAUAAGUACUCCAUUAUCCUUUCAGGUUACAUGAAAGCUUAUGGUAUUUUUAUAGGUACUGGUGACGACUUACUGAGGUUAAGAAAUCUGGAACAACUUGUUUUGAAUGUUAAUCGCUUCAAUGAUAGUGCCUUAUCAUCCCUCAAGGGUCUUUCAUCUCUCAAAUCCCUGGAUAUAGCGUACAACCAACUGAAAGGAUCAUUGAAUGUGACUGGUAACCUCAUCUUUUUCGAUUCCUAGAAACCAAUCUGUGAUUUUUGCUGUGAUGUAAUAUUAAAUUUCUGUUUUUCGACAACCUAGAGCUGGAUGCUUUGAUCAACUUAGAGAGAGUGGAUCUAGCAGGAAACGAGAUUGACAAAUUUGUGUUAUCCAAAGGUAUUGAUUGCUUUCCACACUGAUUGAUGGUAGCUUUACCUCUUGAUCAACCUAAAAUCUCAUUAAUUGAAUUGUAUUUUCGAGGAUGAUUUUGCUCUAGAAUAUAAGCUCAGAAGGUCUUAAAACUUGUUUAACUUCUGCUGUCCCCUACAGAUACUAGAGGUUUUGGAAAUGUAAGCUUCAUUUCAUUAUCUAAUAGCACCUCAAAUGGAAGAGCUCUUCCAUUUACAUUACUGCAAUCAUUGACGAAAUUCCCAAACCUCAGGACCCUUUCUUUGGCUGAGAAUAAUCUUGAAGGAAGUUUCGGAACAACAUUAGAUAAAGGUAAUUUGUGGUAUUGAUGCCUAAAAGCGAUCCUGAAUAUCUGUUAAUUGCUCUUUUUUUCUUUGUAAACGUGCUUUAAAUCAUAUUUUCCUAGUUAUAGGAAUUUAAUUGAUUGUAGCGGGGACAUUAUAAUGGAGCUUCUUGUUGGUUUCAUCAUCUUGUUUCCUUAUCAUUAUCCGGCUCUUGAAUACCGAGCAUAAUUUCUUGUGGGUUUGAUUAUUGUAGACUUGGCUUCUCUCAAGAAUUUAGAAGAGUUGGAUUUGAGUUCCUCCACUGUCGAUAAUAGCUUUCUGCAAACAGUCGGGAAGAUUACUACUCUAAAGAGUUUAAGAUUGAAUGGUUGUCGACUCAAUGGCUCCAUCCCUAAAGCCCAAGGUAAGUCUGACCACCUUUCCCCUCCUUAGGCGUUCUGCUUCUUCUCUGACUAAAAUUUUUAUGAAUCAAUAAAUUCUCAGGCCUAUGUCAGUUAAAGCAUCUCCAAAAUCUAGAUAUCAGCGGGAAUGAUCUCAGUGGUGCUUUGCCUUGGUGUUUGGCAAAUUUGACAUCCCUUCAACAAUUAGAUUUGUCUUCCAAUAACUUUAUUGGAGACAUUUCCUUCUCUCCUCUUACAAGUCUCACAUCCAUCCGAGAGUUAUCACUUUCAGACAACCACUUUCAGAUCCCCGUCUCAUUAAGCUCAUUUCUCAACCAUUCACAACUCAAGUAUUUCGAUGGUAGCAAUAACGAAAUAUAUGUUGAAGAAUUAGAGGAGCAUAAUUUGGCCCCAAAGUUCCAAUUAGAAAGUCUUCGUUUAUCAGGCAAUGGAUAUGGUGGAGCAUUUUCCUUUCCCAAAUUCCUCCUCCAUCAAUACAGCCUCCAAGAAAUUGAUUUUUCUAACCUGAAAUUGAGGGGAGGGUUUCCUAUUUGGUUGUUAGAGAACAACACAAACCUAAAUUAUCUCCAUUUGGUCAACAAUUCUCUUUCAGGGACUUUUCAAUUGCCAAUUCAUCCUCAUCAGAAUUUGUCUGAAUUAGAUAUUUCUAACAAUAACUUCGAAAGCCACAUUCCUAGAGAAAUAGGAUCAUAUUUUCCAAGUUUAACAUUUUUAUCCAUGUCUGAUAACCACUUCAGUGGUCGCGUUCCCUCUUCAUUUGACUUUCUGUUGUAUCUUCAAGUUUUGGACCUCUCAAAUAACAACAUCUCUGGAACCUUACCAUCUUUCUUUAACUCUUCAAACCUCCUGCAUGUUUAUCUGUCACGAAAUAUGCUACAAGGAUCCCUAGAACAUGCAUUUCAGAAAUCCUUUGAGCUAAUAACGUUGGAUCUUAGCCAUAAUCAUUUGACUGGUAGCAUUCCAAAAUGGAUUGGUGAGUUUUCCCAACUGAGCUUUCUUCUCUUGGGUUAUAAUAAUCUUGAUGGCAGUAUACCCACGCAAUUGUGCAAGUUGAACGAAUUAAGCUUCAUUGAUCUUUCUCAUAAUAAUUUUUCUGGUCAUAUUCUACCUUGCCUAAGAUUUAAAAGCAGUAUUUGGUUCAUCCUACUCGAAGAAUAUCCUUCUGAGUUUGAUCUUCGAGAACCAUUGGUUAUUGCAACAAAGAGUCUGUCUUAUUCUUAUCCGCCAAGUAUUUUGAACUACAUGACCGGAUUGGAUCUCUCCUGCAACAGUUUGUCAGGUGCGAUUCCUCCUGAAAUUGGGAAUCUCAACCACAUUCAUGUAUUGAACCUGUCCAACAAUCAUUUAAUAGGCCCAAUCCCACAAACUCUUUCAAAUUUGAGUGAAGUUGAGAGCUUGGACCUUUCCAAUAACAGCUUGAAUGGGGAAAUCCCUCCUCAACUUGUACAAUUGCAUUCUCUUGCCUAUUUUAGUGUAGCCAACAAUAACCUGUCUGGUAAGACUCCUGAGAUGGUUGCACAAUUCUCAACAUUCAAUAAGAGCAGCUACGAGGGAAAUCCCUUACUUUGUGGACCACCACUGCUUAACAGUUGCAUCAAAGAAGUACCACCACCACCUGGGCCUUCAACUGAUGAGAAAGAAGAGAGUAGCGUCUUCAUUGAUGCACAAGUUUUUUGUGUGAGCUUUGUUGUGACAUACAUCAUGGUGCUGUUGGGAAUAGCUGCAGUUUAGUACAUAAACCCAGACUGGCGGCGAGCAUGGUUUUAUUUCAUUGAGAAGAGCAUCAACACUUGCUACUACUUUGUUGCGGAUAAUCUUCUUAAGCCAUUCAGAAUCAGAGUUUGGAAGCCUUUGGUAUAAAUAAAUCUCAACUUUGCAUUGUUUCUACAUUUCAAAGGGAAGAUUUAGAUGGUCAAUCUUAUCUCAUCUCAGUAGUAUAAAUAAUGUCUCAAAAGUUGUGUUCUUUAUAGCAAUGUAAUGAAGAAAAUCAUUUCAUCACAAUUUUGCUUUCAGCAUUCAACAAGUUCUUGCUCAUAUAUCUUCCUUCAAAUCAUAAGUUCAUUCAGCAAGUUAUUUGUAGGAGUAUUUGUUAAAUAAGGUAGAAAAUGGUAAAGUUUUCAUCUACCCCUUGUUGACUGGAGAUGUCAACUUGAACAGAGUAGCUCUGGAAUUGUUCGUUGACCUGAAGCUUUGAAACGAUUCGUAUGUACUUCAAAUUAGGUAGACUAAAGUUUUUUUUGUUAAAUAUGGUUCUUGUUCUUUCAAUUUUAAUUUUCAACCCCAAUUGACUAAUUGAUCAUUAAGUUCCUCUCAAAACUCAAAACAUGCUUAAUACGGCAAAUUAAAAGAAUGAAAGAAAGAGUGAAAUUAAUUGAAAUCUUGUUUUCAUUUAACUAUAUUAUUUAAAUUAAUUUGAAUCUUGAUUUUUAUUUAAAUAUAUUAUUAACAAAUAAAAAGACGAUGUUGCUAAGUUAGAAUUGACAUUGGUAGGAUUUGAGAAUUUCUUGAUAAAUAACCUUCUCAAGUUUCACCUGACCCACAAUCCAAGAUUUGCUCCCGAUCAACCUUGGAUAGGGUUCAAAAACCAUGGUGAAAAGUAAAAGGAACGUAACAGAGAGACGAGAGUCAUGUGUGUUACCAGCCAUUGAAUUAAUAUUGAUGUAAAGCAAAAACUUGGGAAUUUCCUCGAAGAAUCAAUGGGACAAUAAGCCAAAUAAAGAAGACUUUAUUACAUAUGGAAAAUCAUGUGAUGACGACGACCAAUUCCAUCCAAACCACAGGGUAGAUAGCGUGGAAUUGAAUUCCAGUGCCAUACAAGUGGGCUGUUUAAUACAAUUCAUGAACGAACACUUUCUCAACUUUGUCAUUGUAAAAGACAACAGUAAAUUAAAUCGAUCUGCUACUACAGCAACAACAAUCAUAAGAUCGAGUGUGUUGAUUCGUCUUAUAGUAUAAAGAGCAGCUUGUACAAAGCCAGUGGUAUACAAUUUAAUUCAUCAAGUAUUUCAAAUGGGUUAAGCAGGUUCUCUGUAGUAGUGAUAAAGCUGAUCUUUAUGGUUUUAUUACCAGGGUGGUGGUUUCAUUUGUGUUUGGAGGAAGAGAGAAUUGCUCCAUUGGAAAUAAAAAAUUUCCUUUUACCAACCCAUUGUUAACGAAAGAUCGAGCGUGUUGAUUCGUCUUGUAGUAUAAAGAGCAGCUUGAACAAAGCCAGCGGUAUAUUUGUAUACAACCAAAAUUCCUCUAACUACCCAAACGGCGGCGAACACCUGCAAUCUUGGGGAAAAGAAGCCGGCAGUUGUAAUUGGGAAGGUAUUUCCAAUAGAGCAAUUCUCUGUUCCACCAAACACAAAUGAAACCUGGUAAUAAAACCAUGAACAUCAGCUUCAUCACUACUACAGAGAACUUGCUUAACCCAUUUGAAAUACUUGAUGAAUUAAAUUGUAUACCGCUGGCUUUGAGCACUGGAGGGCUGCUCUUUAUAGGAGGAGAGCGCAGUACUGUACCCUACAACCAGCGACGUUGCGCGUUCAUCAUUUAAUUCCACGCUAUCGACCAUGUGGUUUGGAUGGAAUUGGUCGUCGUCAUCACAUGAUUUUCCACGCAUAAUAAAGUCUUCUUUAUUUGGCUUAUUGUCCCAUUGAUGCUUCGAGGAAAUUCUCAGCAUUACAUCAUGCACAGUGCCAGCAGAAAGAUCAUCAAUUCAAUGGACGGUAACACAGGGGUCUCGCCCCCCUCUGUUACGUUCCUUUUACUUUUCACUUUGCCUUGGAAUGACAAUAAAAAAUAUCGGAAUAUCGAGAUUUAAUCCUGCAUUACUAAUUUUUUUUUUUUUUAUUAGAUCAUAAAAUAACUUUCUUAAAUUACUUAUAAGAACUAGAAAUAAUUAAGGGUUAUUUCUCAAACAAAAGAAAAGGUAGUGGCACCAUAAAUACACCAUGCCUAGUUUAGAAAUUUAUACAAGGAUUUAUGCAUAUUCAAGGUUGAUAAUGCAGUUUAACAAGAAAAAAAUAAGAAUUUGGUGGGUUUAUUUUUAUCAACUAAACUAAUAGAAAGAGUCGAAAUCUAGACGGAGGAAAUCACAAAUAAUUAUUGAAGUCACAAAACUUAAAAGACAAGUGAAAAUCAAUGACCCAACCAAAGUCAAGUCAACCGUGAAAACAACCUUUAAUCAUGUGACUUUUUACCUUUUCGAUGGUUUCAAUGGGCUUCUCAUAUGCGCAUGAAAAAUUGAAUUAGAACAUUUUAGUAACCGUGGAAGAUAAUAUCGACUUGUUUUAUCUAUUAAUUUAAAAUAAAAUUUAAAUUUUCACAUUACCAAGAAUGUUUUUAUUGAUGUUGAUAUUAAUAUUGAGGAACUAAAUAAUGCUUUGAUAACCAACGAACAUACAGAACCAACGGACAAAAAUACCAAGAAAAAUGUUAAAAAUAUUAAUAUUUAAUUAUUCAUUGAUAAAACUUUCAUUAAAAAAAAACCCAAAUAAAAACCAGAUUCCCUAAUAUCAUAAAAGACAAGCAUUUCUUCUUCUUAUCUCUUCCUCUUUUGUAAAAAUCAAAAACGUUUCUCUCUAACGGGUAAGUCAAAAACGUUUUACUUUUUUUUUAAUUAACAUAUUAUGUGAAUUUGUUUUUUUAUCUCUGCUCCACUUCACUCACAACAAAAUUAAAGUAGGAUUUUUCUUUUUUCUUUUUUCUUUUUUAUGUUUAUUUUGCAUUAUAUUUGUUUUUCUUUUUUUUUUGUUGAAUUUUUCUGUUCAAUGUUGUUGUUAGAAUUGUUUUCAUAUUAGAAUAGUUUUUUUUUUUUAAUGAAGAGAGUCGUGGUUUCUUCCCAUCUUCCAAGGUUCUUCAAUACGGUGAUCCUUUGUCCCCUUAUUUGUUUAUCCUGACUAUGAAGAAUUUAAAAGGUAUUUUUAAAGAGGCCUCACGGAACUCGAGGUCUUAUUAUCAUUGGCAGUGCCAACAUAAUAUCAUUACUCACUUGUGCUUUACUAAUGACCUUAUGAUCUAUUGUCAAGCAGAUAGAACUCAAUCAAGAUUGUGAGGAAGGCUUUGAAUUAUUUUGCAGGGUUGUUUGGUCUUGUUAUAAAUCCAAAGAAGAGCCCAAUUUUUUUAUCAGGAGUUAAUGAUAAGCUUAGGACAUCUUUACAAGAUCUUUUUGGUUUCAGGUUAGGUUCUCUGCCAAUAAGAUACCUAGUUGUUCUAUUGAUAUCUAUUAAACUAACUCACUCUGAUUAUAAGCCUUUAGUAGAGUGGAUUCUCUCCAAGAUUAAGUUGUGGACCAUAAUUUUAUUUUAUUUUUUUACUUGUAUUGGGUGUCUUCAACUAAUCAAAUCAUUUCUCUUCUCCAUCCAGGUUUAUUGAUCCUCCAUGUUUAUUCUCUAUUGCUCUAUUAUUAAGAGGAUUAAGGGUAUCUUGGUUGCCUUUCUUUAUAAAGGCUGCUUUAUCUCCCACUCAGGGGCUAAGGUGGCUCGGGUCUAUGUUUGAUGUCGCACAUCACUCGCGCGGUGUCGGCUGGCAAUUUUUUCGUUAUGCGUUGCUUUGAUUUGAUUGGUUUGUUAGGAGUCAUCACCUAAUAAUUUAUUAAAGGCUACUAGGAAACCGAAUGUACUGGUCUUGUCAGAGAUUCGCGAGUAAGGGACUGGUUGUGGUUAGGGAAGGUAUUAGCACCCAUAACGCACCCUACCUGAGGUAAGCUGCUUCGUGGCUUUGACGUGUUAAAGAAGUUUUAAAAUUUUUUUCUUUUCAUCGGGUAUCAGAAAUACAACUUACAUACAAGUUAAUAAUUCUUGACCGUGAUCCAAUCAACAUAUUAAUUUCUUCUUUAAUCUUUGCAAUUUUAUCAUAAAUAAAUAAAUAAAACAUCCAUAAAACAAAUACAAACACACACAUACACAUACACCUUUACUAUAUUUUUUCCUUUUUUUAUUUUCUUUUCUUUUACAUACACACUACAAAUUAUAAAAAAUUCAAAAAAAGCUAGACAAAAAUUAUAUUAAACAACUAAAAAAUUACAAAAACAACCCCUAAAACAUCCUUGAAUUGCUGGGAACGGUGCUGUGAAAACUCAUGGACAGCCGGAACAGUGGCGGCGCGUUGUUCCACGCGCCACCAUCACUAGCGGCGUGUGGGUUCACGCACAGCAGAAAAAAAAAACAGCAGGGGAGAUCUGAAGCGGCUUCCUUGCCAACGAUGACUGCUACCUCUACCUGCAACAAGAAACAUAAAAAAAGGCCAUAAACAGUUGAUUUUAGAUUUGUCUUUCUUUGUUUUUUAGAUCUGCAUUUCUCCCUUCUCCUUGUUCGGAUCUGCUUCACUGCAGGUCAGUUGUUAUGGGUUUCAUCUUCUUCUUCUCUGCUUUGGGUGGCAGAUCGGGCUGCGUUGUAGUGUCUCAGUCACAGUAGAAGGCUGGCCGAGCGUCGUCGCGUGGGGGCUGUCGUUGGAGGGCAGAUCUGCGAACACUGCUAGAGGGAGAAGGUUGGCCACUCCGAGUCUGUGGGUGAUGUUGCUGCUGACGGCGAAGACCGGGUGAGAGUAGAGGUCUGGUGAGGUGAGGGAGCGGCCGGCUAGAGAGGGAAAGAGGAAGCGACCUCGAGAGAGAGAGAGAGAGAUGGCUGUGGGGAAAAUAAGAGAGGGAGCCGAGGUUGGACUUGGGGAACGGCUAAGAUGGAGAUGAGGGGGGAACAGAGUGGCUACUCCAGUUUUAGGAGAGUGGGGUUGAGGGUGGCUUCUGUUUUUUCUCUUUUGCAAAACUGCGGGGAAAGUUGAGAGAGGAGUGUGGUGGCCGGAGAUAGGGCUGCUGUGUUUGGCCAAGGAUGGGAUUAUGGUCGGGUGUGUGGCCGAGAGGUUCUGUGCAAGGUGGAUGAGGUCAAUGGUUGGGUGUCUAUGGGUGAAGGAGAGGGAGGGGGCGCCGUUCCUUGAAAAAGAUGGGUUUAGGGUUAGGGUUUUCUUUUUUUCUAUUUUUUUUAAUGUUUCAAAAUUGCCCCCCUCUUUGUGUGUGUUGAAGACCAGUAUUUAUAGGCAAAAAUAUUGCUAGGUUUCCAAACUUGGUCCCUCAACUUCUUUCUUUUUGUAAAUUUGAUUUUUCUUAAUUUUUUGUAUUUUUUUAAAAACGAGCAAUAUCAACGUCGACUCGAUGAGGAAAAUCAAUGAUUUUAAAAAUAACACGUGAAAAGUUGAACGCGUUCGAAAGACUCUUAAAAAUUUAAAUUCUUUUUUAGACGACGUUGAAAAUACUAAAAUGAUGAAAAUAUAUUAAAAACAUAUUUUUUUGAAUUUUUAUUGUUUUUCUCUAUUUUUGAAUUUUUCUGAAAAUUUAUCAAAACAUGGAUCAAAAAUUAGGUAGCAACAUUUGAUAUCCCUUAAAAAGGGUGGCCUAAGAAUAAGGAGGGCUCAAACUUGAAAUGAAACAGUUAUUCUCAAGCAUGUCUAGCGACUACUAUCAGAUAGAUCAUCAGUUUGGUCAGGAUGGGUCCAUAAUGUUUUGCUCAAAGGCAGAUCUUUUGGGCAUGUCAUGCCUCCUUCAAUGUCUUCUUAGUCAUGGGGGAAGGUUUUAUUCAUCAAAGAUUGGUGUAAAAGGAAGUUUGUCUUCAAUAUUGGUAGUGAAACUACUACCUCUAUAUGGUUAGACUAUUAGUUACCAGAUGGGCAACGGUUAUGUGAUCUAGUGUAUUUUAGGGUGCUCGCUUAUACUGGGUUGUCAUGGAAUGCUAAGGUCUCAUACAUCAUUAAGAGGGAUACUUGGGUUUUUCCAUUGGGUAGUCUGGAGCUCCAGCCUGUAUAGGACUCGAUUACUUUUAACCCAAGAGUGUCUUACCAAAUCAUUAUGUCUGGAACGGUAACUCAUUGGGGGAGGUUCUUUAUUGACUCGGCAUGGGAGGUUCUUAAAGAUUCCAAACCCAUAGACUAUAUACACUAUCUUCUCUGGUUUUCAGGUUUCAACUUGUGACUCUCUUUUAUCAUGUUGUUUACCUUUAUAAGUUGUCUCAAUAUCAUGAAUAGACUACAUGCUUUUUAGAUCAUUCCCUCUUCGACAUGUAUCCUUUGUGGGUUACAGGUUGAAACACAUGAACAUUUAUUUUUUUAGUGUCCUUUCUCUGCUAUAGUUUAGGGUGUUAUCACGAAUAUGACCCUUAUGAGUUGGUCUUCUUUGACAUGACAUAAUUUGCUUUAGUAGGCAUACAAGCACUUGAAGAAAAAAAAAUAAAAAAGGACUUUACACAUUUACUUACUUGGCUAGCCUUUUGUACCUCUAUUUAUUUCAUUUAGUGUGAGAGAAAUAAUCAAGUUUUUCAUAAGAUUUAUUGAUCUCAUCAGGAUGUUUGCAAAGAUAUUUUUUAUUUGGUUCACUCCCGUUUGAUAGAGCUCGAACUAGGUUUUAUAUCCUAGCUACUUUCAGGUCCAUUUGGUGCCUCUAAAAGUUAUGAAAUAUAAUUACUCUUGCUAAUUUUAAGAUUUUAUUUAGCAUAAUUUUAUAUAUAAUCAAUCGAUCAUCUACAAGCAUUUAUACUUCUUGAGAUAUGCUCCUCGUGCUCUAUAUAGUUUCUUCCCUUUAAAACAACUUUUAUCCGAAAAUAAGAAAAGAAUUUUGUUUUGCUAUACAUUGCAAGUUUUAAUGUCUAUUUAAUAUGUAUGCUAUGAUUUUAUUUUGAUCAAGAUGAACUUAAUUAUAUAAAAAUGCAAGCAAUCUAAACUAAAUUAUAGAUCGAAAACAACAGUUAUCCAAUUCAAAAAAACCACUCAAAGAUUUGAGCUGAACCAUUACACUAAUGCAAAAUUAUUCAUCGAAGAAAUUUAGAAGUGCAUUUUCAAGGAAACCAAAAAUAAUGGAUACAUGAACCUUGUUCGGUAUACUUCUAGCUAAAACAGGAUAUCAAUCAUCGAUAACUAUCUUCCUCGAUUGCAUUUUAGCUGUCAUAUGGAGAGGAAAACUUUAUCAUCAUAACUAGUAUUAACAUGAAUUAGAUGACUGUUGAUUUCCUGGGUUGGCACUCAAACUUGCAACGCAUUGUGCAAAUUCUAAAAAAGUGAAUUUACAUAGCCGGAAUAUCUACCAUGUCAUGUGCUUCAGGAGAAUGGCUUCCCAUGGCCUCAACUUAUCAUAUUCCACUUCGAGCAGCUUAGUGAUUUGAAGUUUGAGGAAGCCUGAAAGAACCCCCAGCAUAAAGCAUCUCAUAGACAGGCCUUAUCCUCAUGGUUAGAAAAAUGCUCAAGAUGGAGCCCAAACCGCAGGCACCAGCAGGAGAUGCUUGAACUGGACAGCAAAUUUGGUACCUGCUGCUUUGCUGCCUCGUUAUCAUAUACAUAGCCUGCCAGGAGACCUGAGAAAAGGAACGCACCGAGAGGAUUUCCUAGUGACAUGAAGUUGUAAAAUAAACCAAAAUGCUUCAAGCCGAAAAGCUCAGAGACAGUCGGUAUCAUUAUCGAGAACUGAACUCCAUAGCAGAUCCCAAGUAAUGCUGUUGCGGCGUAAAGGAUACCAUCAAUUGCAGAAGCAAACAACAGGUACGUUAUGAUCAUCAUUACUUGAGUGCACGUCAUCCAUAUUGUCCGAGGGAUUGUUUUUGAUCUGCAAGGAAUAAAUGUCCAACACAUCAAAGUAAUACAACACCACAAAAAUAUUGUAGCCUGUGCAGUCUGUAUUCUUUUGGAACCGACAGUCAGACAAUUACAAUGGACUGAUAACGAAAUUUGAGGAUGUGCCAAAGACAAAAGCUCAUGGAAAUAGACAAGUAACAAUCAUAUGACAUUUUGGCAGAACAUGAGCUAUGCUUCUUAUGCAUAUGUUUUCUCCGUCUACGAGCAUCGAUAUCUGGAGCAUAUAACAGAAGAAAAACCGAUGCAACUUAAUUCUCAGAGGAUGCUCGCACUGUCCAAUAGAUGGAGUGACAGUAUUAUUCCUGGAACUAAGCCCCAUCAUGACACAAUUUGAGAAUGAAAAUCAUCUUGGCAUCCUUUGAUUUGGUUUUUCUGUGUUUUAUAUUUUGUUUAUAAAGUCACUGGCUCUAAGCCAAGACUUGCAUGGUUUAGAUGAUUUGGUUUUUUUAACCUUUUAAAUGUAAAUCAAUUAGGCAUCAAAAUGCAGAAAACUUCAUUGUAAUGAACUUAAUGAUUAGCCAAGAAGGAAAGGGUGUAGUAACCUGACAAAAUGUUCAGACACAAUACCCCCACCAAGACGCCCCACAAAAUUGCAAAAGCUGAAGAGCGACAACAAGAUGGUAGUAUCAUGCACGCCUUGUGCAAUUCCUAUCUGGGCCAGAUUAUUGAGCACCCGUUACCCCAGAUCCAACACCCACAAAGUACACAAAGAAAAGAAGCCAGAAAUCAGCCUUUAUUAGGGCUUCAGUAAAUCUGAAAUCCUCCCCUCUUUUCGGUCUCCUCUUCUUCUUCACAGCCCCUUCACCCUCAGCUAGAAGCAUAGCCACCUCAGAUGCCUCAACAUUUUCCCGAAAACUUCCGAGGGCUGUUGUUGAUGAAGAUGAUUUCAGCAGCGGUUCGGUUUUGUCUGCGUUGUCUUCUUGUAUCACACUGUCUGGAGUCUCAACUGGCUGGUGAUGCAUCUCUGGUUUACUGACUCUCAUGCGGUGAAAUGUCAUUUUUAUGGGUAUUGCAAAUGGAGCCAUGAGAAGGACAACCAUUAUAACAAGAAAGGUAUUAGAUACCGGGGCACUGAAAUGAAAUAUGUGAUUCAAUAUGGUGGUUGUUAGGACAUAUAAGCCGAGUACAAUAAGAGCUCCUUGAGUGAAAAGAAAAUGGGCGUGUUCUGAAGAGUCUUCACCUGAUGCAGGGGUACAAGCUCUUACAAAAUACAUGACUAUGAAACACAGAACAGGAAUUCCAAGUGCAAGAAACAUCAGAAGCUUAGAUGAGGAAUUGCGGAGCAGAGUACUAUAAAUUUCAGUAAAUACUGCAGCACUGAUUCCACCGUAACCUUUAAGAACACCAGCAACAGUGCCUCUACUAAGAGGAAAGUUUCUCAUGUUGGUUACAAGAACAGCUGUGCUCAACCAAGCACUACUAUUGGUGGCAACACAGAGAGCAAGGCAUAGCUGCAAUAUCGUAAAGUGAAAACAAAAAAUGUGACUUUAGUCCUUUUGCUGGAAAAUUUUAGAAUGAGCACAAUGAACAUAUAUGCCACUCAACCAAAUAAAAAUGAUGAAGAUUUUGAGAAAUUAAACAUGCAUUAACAGUAUCUGAGCACAGGACAUUUUCCACAAAUCACAAAGUAAACCACAUGAAGCAGCAACUAUAUCCAAAUUUGCAGAAAAUCUCACUCCUAUGCAUACAACAACGAAAAAACUUGUGAGUUUCUACAGCAAACAGUGAUUCGCCAUCCUCUAACACUGUAGUUUAUCAUAUCUGUCAUGAGCAAUAAUAUGGAAGCUGAUUUUACUAGACANNNNNNNNNNNNNNNNNNNNNNNNNNNNNNNNNNNNNNNNNNNNNNNNNNNNNNNNNNNNNNNNNNNNNNNNNNNNNNNNNNNNNNNNNNNNNNNNNNNNAAAAUACAAACACACACAUUCACAUUUCACUAUUUUGUUUCUUUUCCUUUCUUUUCUUUUUCUUUUCUUUUACAUCCACAACACAAAUACAAAUACAAAUACGAAUACAAAAUCAAAAUCAAAACAAAUAAAUAAAAAUUACAUUAAUUAAUUUAAAAAAUUACACAAUAGUCCCUAAAACUCCAAAAAUUGCAGGGAAGCCCAUCUGAAAAACAGAGGGGCCUGGAGCGGCUUCUUCUCCUCUUCCUUUCCUCACCGACGAUGAAGGUCACCGCCACUUGCAACAAGAGAAAAACUCACAAACAGUAGUUCGUUUUAAUUUUUUUCUUUCUGUUACAGAUCUGCUUCUCUUUGAUCUGCUUCUCUGCAGAUCGGUUCGCCCUUCUUCAGAUCGACUUUGCCCCGGGUCAGCCUCUACUUCGGGCGGCGUUGUUGGGGUUGCUGUUGCUGUCGUCCGUUCGGCGGCUUCGUUGUUAGUGGAGAUGAUGAGAUCGUCGGAGGACAAGCAGGCGACCGGCGAGAGGGGAGAGCUAAGGGGGACGGCGUGUGGCUGAGCUGGGGCCGAUGGUUUUGUUUCUUCGGUUUUGGGCGGGGAAGGGAGAGUCUGUGGGUGGUGGCUUGCUUCUGUGGAGGAGACACCGCUACAAGGCUAGUCGGGUGGAGAUGAAGAGGACAGCGAGGCUGCUGCUGGUGGCUUCGGUUCAGUGGAGGCCGGUCCGGCCGCUGGUCUGUGGGGAGGAGAAAAAUGGGGAAGAGGGCAGGGGCUGCUGUCGGUUAUGGAGAAGGCGAAUUAAGGGAAACGGUGAUGGGCAUGGAGGUCUGGUGGAGAUGGGGUCUUCGGGUGGCUGAGGAAAAGGCUGAGAGGGAGGAUCUGUGGAGGGGGAGUUGAUUCGGGGUUGUUGUGAUGCUGGGUUUCGGCGAGCUGGAGGUGGGGAACGGUUCGGUUUUGGAGGAGAAAGGAGAGGAUUUGUGUGGCUUAGGGUGCAAGCGUUGGAUUUGCUGGUCGAAGAGGAGCCGGCUGAGAAGGUCUGCUGUUGGGUCCGACAGCUGAGGAAGAAGAAAAUGGAAAAUCACCCUCUCUCCUUCGGGUGCAGGGGAGAAGAAGAAAAUCCCAAAGGGGCUGGGGACCGUGGGUCUCUGCCCACUGCUCUCGGGACCCGGCGAAAUGAAAAAUCCCCCCUAUGUUGCAUAGCUGGGGAUGAGAAGAAAUAGGGGUUCUCCUCAUGAGGAGAGCCUCCAUUGUCGGCUGGAAACAAGGAAAACAAGACCUGGGUGGGGGGCUGAGUCCCUGAUUUUCAGCUGAAAGAGGGGUCUUGGGCUAGGGGGAGCGGCUGGUUUCGGGUGAAGAAAAAAAAAUUCUUAGGUUGCCUCUCCCUCCAAUAUUCAAAAUUCUUUAUACAUAGGCAAAAAUACUAUUUCGGCCUCAAAAUUGGUCCCUUAACUUUCUUUUUUUUUUGUAAAUUUUGAUUUUUCUUAUUUUUUUAUAUUUUUUUGAAAACGAGCAAUAUCAACGUCGACUCAAUGAGGAAAAUCAAUGAUUUUUAAAAAUGACGCGUGAAAAGUUGAACGCGUUCAAAAGUCCCUUAAAAAAAAUUUAAAUUCUUUUUUUUUUAGACGACGUUGAAAAUGCUAAAAUGACACGAAUAUAUUAAAAACAUAUUUUUUUGGAUUUUCAUUUUUUUUCUCUAUUUUUGGAAUUUUUUGAAAAUAUAUCAAAAACAUGGGUCAAAAAAUGGGUAACAACACAACCCAUCAGCAUAAAGUGGACGACAAGCUGACAAAUUUAGCUAUGCAGUUAACCUGUAAAAAAGCAAUUGAAAUCCCAGUCGAAAUUUAACAUUACUAAGUACCCAAUAAGCACUCAAAAUCAAAGAAAACAAAAGCCUAAUUAUCUCAAUUUAGAAACAACUAACAUUAAAAAAAAUUACCAAAUUUAUUAACCAGUAAAGGGGUUCGAAGAAUGACCUGGAAGAUAACGAUAACAAGAAGGGCAAUAAGAAUGAAGAAGGCUAUCAGCCAAACAAAAAGAUCUCCCAUGCUCCUCCUUUACCCUCCCUGCUCUAAUGUUUUACUCUCUCUCUUCUCCCUUAAGUACUCUGCUUCGUUAGCUCAAGAAAAAGGUAGAGAUGGGUGCUUAUUAAUCACUCUGGCAUGCACAGGGGCUUUGGUUCUUCUCCUGUCUGAAAUGCCACAAUUCUUGUUCGGUUUUCCUUUGAUUUAUUACAGAGAGAAGUUGUGAAAGUAAAAAAAGCAAUUGCAAAUUGUCGAUGAUGAGAGAGAGUAGAAACGCAUGAAAAGCAAAAGAUAUUUGCUUUUCAUUUUUUACAACUGAACCGUGAUUUUUAAUGGGACCCACAUAGAAAUAAAUUGUGUUUUGAAGGUAACCAAACACAUGUUUUACUGCUUUCCUACAAACCGCAACCGCACCAGCUUAGCCAAACACCCACUAUAUAUUAGAAGUAAUGUUAGUAAGAAAAAAAAUCAUAAUUGAUUGUUAUGCAUUUAAAUAAUAAAUCUCAUUAUAAAAAUAUUGUAUUUUUACUUACAAAAAUAGUCCAUCCAAUAAAUAAAUAAAUAAAAAUGUAAGAAAAUAGUCCAUCCAAUAAAUAAAUAAACAAAACAUGUAACAUGAUGUUGUUACAUGUUUAAAGUGACACUCUCUUUAAAGUUCAAGCAACCACUUGUCUUUGAUCAUUAAAGUGUUACAGCUUUCAGGAACUCAUCAGGAAAAAAAAAAAAAACGAGGACCUCUUUAGUUUUUACAGACUGCUGGUUCCACGAAGGAACGCAUGCAGAAAUCAAAUGGGGUUGACUACAAGAAAUGAAGAGUGACAGAGCCAUUUGCUUCGACUCCAUUGAUAAAAAUUUGUUGCUUUCGAUGGCUUUUCUUCGAUUUGCUUCGACUCCAUUGAUCAAAAUUCGCUGCUUUCGAUGGCUUUAAUUUCUUCUUUUUCUACAGAUUGAUACAUGGAGUGUGCUAAAGCCAUUAAAGGUGGUAACUGGGAUGUUGCAGAUUCACUUUUGGCAGAAAUUCGAUCUCUAGCUCCUAAAGAAGAGAGCAUAUCGACGAGGAUGUUGGUGGAAGAAACCACUGGUGGUGGCUUUGAAACACUCGGAGAGGAUAAAACAUAAGGUUUUAUUACAAAAACAGAAGCUUAACAAAUACAACAAAAGCUUUACAAUACACACCCUCUCUCUCUCUAUAUCUAGUGUUUCUUUCUUCUCUCCACACAUAAUAACCUUAGCUUAGAUGCCUAUUUAUACACAAAUUCAGUCAGCUCAAAAUUCAACGGUCAUGGUGUGAAAGCGGUUGGCGGUCGAUGGUGUGAAUGCGGUUAGGCGGUGGCAGCUGGGGGCUGGGGGCUGGGGGCUGGCGGCUGGUCGGUGACAGCUGGGGGCCGGUGAGGCGGUGGUUGCCUUCCUUGACCUUCUGGAUAUUCUGGAUAUUGAGUUUAAACAAAUCUCCCCCUUAAACUCAAUUGAGGGAUGUCAUGCCAAACAUGAAUACUUCUCCCUUCAACGCCUUCUCUCUACUUGUAGCCUUUAUCCACUAAUUUGGCUUUCGUCUUGUAGACCCAUUUGACACCUAUUGCUUUCUUCUUUUCUGGUGGAUAAGUCAGCUUUCAGGUAUCUUUCUUCUCAAUGGCAUGUAUUUCUUCAUCCAUUGCUUUAAUCCAUUUCACUUCUGUGACAGCUUCAUUGAAACUUAAUGGGUCACUAUCUGCAUGGAGACAAAAUAGAGUUGUAUCUUCCAUGACUUGAGUAGCAUCGUACAACUCUUCAAGAUUCCCCAUCCUUCUUGGUCCUUCUGAUGAGGAUGAUGAUGAUGGUGUUGAUGAUGAUGAUCCUGGUGUGUUCCUCCUGUUGAAUACAGGGAAUCUGUGUACCGGACUUUGUGGUUCAGCUGCUGGUAUAACACCGGACUUUGUGGUUCAGCUGCUGGCACAAUCGGUUCUUCGUACAAUUGUUCUUCUGCAAGUACUGUUGGUACUUCUUCACCUUCAAGGAUCAAAUCAGUUGAUCCAUUUGACUGCUUCUUGAUCACCAUUCCAUCCCAAGAUUUAUCUUCUUCAAAGAUAACAUCUCUACUCGUAAUCACCUUCUUCGUGAUGGGAUUAUACAGCCUGUAUCCCAUCCUUCUUUCACCAUAUCCGACAAAGAUGCAUUUCUCGCUCUUAUCAUCGAGCUUUCUCCUUCUUGCAUCUGGGAUCUUUGCAUAUGCCACACAACCAAAGACUCGUAGAUGAGUAACACUUGGUUUGUGACCACUCCAUGCUUCUUCUGGAGGACUCCUUGCAAACUUCUGGUUGGGCAGCGAUUCAGUAUACACUGCACAUGAUACAGCUUCAGCCCAGUAUUGCUUGGGCAACUUCUUUGCUUUGAGCACUUCUGCCAUGUCAAGAAUCGUGCGAUUCUUCCUUUCUGCUACACCAUUCAGCUGUGGUGUAUAAGCUGGCGCGUUGUCUGAUGUCUGAUGCCUUGUUGUGUACAAAGGCUUCAAAGUCAUUUGCUGUAUAUUCUCCACCUUGAUCAGAUCUUACGGUUCUGAUCGUGUAACCAGUUUGCUUCUCCACAAUUGCUUUAAAAUCUUUAAAACAAUUGAAUACUUCUGACUUCCUCUUCAGAAAGUAUAUCCACGUCUUUCUACUAAAAUCAGUAAAAGUGAGGAAGUACCUAUUUUGUCCAGUCGACAUAGGCGUAAUUGGGCCACACACAUCUGUGUGUACUAACUCCAGUGGCCUCUUUGCUCUCCAGUUGACUUCUUUGGCAAAACUGGAUCUGUGAUGUUUGCAAACCUUUGACCAUCUUCUUGCUUGCUAGCAUCUUCAACUCGUGAAAUUCAGAUGUCCAAGCCUCAGGUGCCAAAGCCAUUCUUCACUGUUGGUGAUGGCGCUCAAACACCUUGUUGCAUCAUACUGGAUGUUCAAAGGAAACAUCCUAUUCUUGGACAUUUUCACAUAGGCAAUUAGUCUCCCAUUGUUGUCUCUAAUUGUCAGAUGACAAUUCUUCAAGUAAAGAGUAUAGCCUCUCUCUAUAAGUUGACCUAUGCUGAUCAAGUUCUGCUUUAUGGCUGGGACAUAAUAAACAUCAGCGAUGUGGCUGUUAUCGCCAUUCUUCAACUUGAUUGGGAUGUUGCCUUUACCUUUGAAUGGAACCUUUGAGGUAUCUCCAAAAGUAACUAGACCUUGUUUGGUCUCAUCUAGAUCACCAAAUAACUCUCGGUGGCCGCACAUGUGAUUGCUGGCUCCAGAAUCUAGAUACCAUACAUUCUUUUGUUUCUCACCAUGUCCUUGUUAGACAAAUAAUGCAGCUACUCCUCUGUCAUCAUUCUCUGCAUAGUUGGCUUGCUCACGUAUCUCUAACGGAGCUUUCCUUCGGCAUUCAGUGCUAUAGUGCCCAAAUUGAUUGCAACUAUAACAUUUCAUAUUUCUCUUGUCACGGUUAUUGUAACCGCCUCCUCUUUCUCUAGGAGUGAAUGCUUGUUGUCCUCGACCUCCUCUGGUGGUGUUUCUACCACCUAUUCCUCUGAAGCUUGUAUUCCAAGAUCCUCUUCCUUGGAAUCUUUGAAAUCCUCCUCUGGAUUGUUGACUUCUUUCUUGAGUGGGAUAUCGACUUGUUGAAGUCUCCCCUUGCUCAUAUCUGUUCUUGAGAGACAACUUUGUUUGUAAGGCAUGUUCGAUGGCCUUAUCUCCAUUUCGCUUUACAAUUUUCUGCUCAUGGGCUUGCAAAGAACUCAUAAGUUCAUCCACUGUCAACUUGUCCACAUCUUUGGACUCUUCAAUUGCGACAACAACAAAAUCAAAUUUUAGAUCUAGGGAUCUCAAAAUUUUCUCAGUAAUUCGAGUGUCGCACGUGUGCGGCGGCGCGGCGAUCGUCCACCCCAACCCUUCAUGAGGGUGUAGUAUGUGUCUAUCUGGCAUGGAAAAUAUGGUGAGACAAGGAGUUCUUUGUCUCUAAAAAAAUGGAUCGGGAGUCGCCACCUAGUAUUCUGGUUACUAGGAACCCUUACUGGUCUUGAGAGAUCAGGUACGGAGACUGGUUGCGUAAAGGGAAGGUGUUAGCACCCCAACUACGCCCUACCUAAGGUAGGCUGCAUUGUUUUGUCUAAUAAAACCUAAGUCAUGUUAUGGUUUCCUAUUGUCCAAAAUAUGCAUUACAUGUAAUGUCAUACCCCGGGUUCUAUUGUCCAAACAAAAAAAAAAGAAUUAAAUAUCCGGAAUACGCAUUACGUGUAAUAUCAUACCCCAGGUUUUAUUGUCCAAAAAUAAAAAUUAAAUAUCCGGAAUAUGCAUUACGUGUAAUGUCAUACCCCAGGUUUUAUUGUCCAAAAAAUAAAAUUUUUGUUGUUUUUGAAAUAUUGGCCAAUAUUCUCUUGACUUUAAUAAACUGGUUAUUAAAGCCAAAAUGCAUGCUAAAACAUUUUUUUUUUUUUUGUGUAUUAAAAAUACAAUAUAAAUUUUUAGCUUUGAGACACUUGGCCGUAUGCACAAAAACAUUUUUUUCUUUUUUUUUUUUUUUUUUUUGUAUCUUGUGGAAAAAAUUUUUUUGACGAAAACCGGGAAUUUAAAAAUCAGAUUUUUUGUAUUUUUAACAACAUAAAAAACAUAUCACCCAAUAUUAAUCAAAAUGACAUAAAAAUUACGCGGAAAAAUUAUAAAUGAAACAAAUAUUUUUUGAUUUUUUUUUUUUGAAUGGGCGGGUGAACAGUACCGUAUGAACAGUACCACGGAACGAAAACGGGGUAUUUUAAUACCGGAUUUAUAUUUUUUCCCAACAAAAAAAAAAUGUUGCUUGAUAUUAAUCAAAAAUCCACGGGAAACUUGUAAAAUUACAAAAAAAACAAAAAUAAAACCAAUUUAAUUAACAAAAAUAAAUAAAUAAAAACUGGGCCGGAUCUAGCCCAUCCAUCCUGGGAUGGGCCUGACCCGGCCCAUAUACUGUGGGCUGGACUCAGCCCAGCCGCGUGGGCUGGGCUGAUGUUCCAGCCCACCAACCAAAAGGCUGGUUACUGUGUUAGCCACACAGUAACCAGCAAAUAAUAAGGUAGUUACUGUGCCCAGCACAGUAACUACCGAAUUAUUUUCAUUCUUUGCUGCAGAACGUGAUUCACGUUCUGCAUGCAAAGAAUGAAAACAAACCACUGAAUGUAUAAACGAAAGGCAACAGGGGGAAGACGAGUACCUGGAACGGUGGCGACGCUGGCGGCAGUGGAGGCGGCAGCGGCGGUGUAGUCGGCGGCUGUCCUCUUUCUUUCUCUCCUCUGUUUCUGUUCAUCGUCACCUUGGGUCAGUUUUUUUUCGUUGUUCCCUCUCUCUGUUCUGCUACUCUUCUUCCUCUGUCUUCUUCUUCAGUUUCAUUCAUCUCUUCUACAAGCCCUCUCUCACGUUGUUCUCAGCUUUCUUCUCCCUUUCGGUCCCUCUCCAAAAGCUUGGUUCUCUCUCUCUCCCUCACGGUUUUCUUUCAAUAAUCUGUCAGCUCUCCCCUCUGUUUUUCUCUUCUUUUUUUCUUUUUUUUUCCCUGCUGUUCUUCCUCCAUUUAUAGCCCGUGAGCAUGUGUUUUUUUCUUCUCAUCAUGGGGUCAUACGGCGGCUGGUCGGGCGUGGCUGUCCAGGCGUGCCUCCCUCAGUUUCGGCGGUGCGGUAGGUGGUCGGCCAAUCGGUGGGCUGGAGGGACCAACGCCAUAAAAUAUACAUUCUUUUUUUUUCCUUCUUUACUGCUGUAUGUUAGGCGGGGAAGAAAGGGGAACAGUGCCGUUCAAAACGGCGCCGUUUAGCCCUUUUCUGUUUUUUUUUUUUUUUUUUAAAGUAUGAAACGGCGUCGUUUUGGAUAAAACGCGCCGUUUCAUUUAAAAAUGGCGCCAGAACGCGCUAAAUUCCAAAUCAGCCCUCAAUCAUCUUUUUCUUUUCAAUUGCGUCCCUACCAAUUUCGGUCCCUGACCCCAUAGUUGGCUGCGUUUUUCACUUUGGUCCUUGGCCUCUGAUUUAUGCAAUUUAACCCUUAAUUGAUCAAUAAACUUCUAAUUUCUUCAAUUAGGCCCCUGAAUCAAUUCAAUACAGCUCCCUCUAUAUUCGCGCCUUUUCCAAAUUGGUCCCUGCUUUCGGAUUUUCGCAAUUAAACCCCUAAUUGGCCAUUAAACUUCAAAAUUCAUGCAAUUAAGCCCCUGAUUUGGCCUAAUAAAUUCCUAAAAAAUAUAUUUUGGCCCCAGAACUUAAAUUUCUUCUAAUUAAAGCCCAAAUUGAUUUCAAAAUCAAUUUUUCUCGCAAUCAAAACCCCUAAAAAUCCCAUUAAAAAUCCAAUCAUGUCCAUAAACCUCCAAAUUUAGGCUUUUUCCUCAAAAAUUUAAAUUUUCCUUCUAAAUAGGGCUCUCAUCCUUCAAGAAUAAACUGCCAAAAAUCCAAUCUUUGUAUUUUUAACCUCCUGGACCAAUUUUCUGACCAUUUUCUGAGCGCUUCCCCCCUUGUUAUUUUUCUAACCUCCUUUGGCUAUUUAUUUUUUAUUUUUUUUUUAUUAUUAUUAUUUUUUUUUUGCGGGGACCCAAAAAUGGGUUACAACAUCGAGAAUCUAUGAUGGCUUCUCCAUUUCUCCUUAUCUGAUUGACUAUCACCAUAAUCCUUGUGUGAUAAUCAGAAAUAGAUUCUGAGGACUUCAUUUGCAAUAAUUCAAAUUCUCCUCGUAAAGAUUGAAGAAGAAUCUUCUUGAUUCUAUCAGCACCUUUGUAUUUUUAUUGGAGAGCCUCUCAUUUAUCUUUUGAUGUUUCAGCGGAAGCUAUGAUUUCGAACGUAUCUUCAUCAAGACCUUGGUAGAUGAUGGUCUUUGCUUUGUUGUCCUUCUUUCUGUUGACUUUCAGGGCUUGCUUUUGUGCCUCUUGUAAAGCAUCUUCUGCUUCUUUGGACUCUGGUUCAUCAUAAUCAUGUUGUACAAUAUCCAAACACUCUUGUGAACCAAGGAAUGCCUUCUAUAUGAUGCACCAACUAUCAUAGUUGUCUUUGGUCAGCUUCGGGAUGAGUGUUUGUGUACUUUCUGUAGUCAUUUUGCUCUUUUAAUGCCUAUAUCGACUUCUAGGAGCCGAAUUUGACUAAACGGACACUGUAGAUCGAUCCGGAAUGGUCCAAAUAGUAAGGAACCGGUCUUACUUUGCAAAAAUCAGGUCAGAAUAUGGGUGAACCAGUCAAAACACCGAUUCUGUACGGGGGGCGGUUCGCUGGGUUGAACCGGGAAUAUUCUGUGGAAUAUUCUGUCGGCACCGGGAAUAUUUUGUCGACGCGCUGACGGCUGGGAAAACAGCACACGUACGGAGAGGCUUGGCGGCUCGGCUCAACUCGUACGGAGCGGCUUGGACGCUCGGCUGGACGACUCGGCUCGGCGCGGCUGGAUGGAGGCUCGGCUAACGGCUCGGCUUAGGAGGCUUAACGGCUGGAAUAUGGCGCGCGUGGACGUCACUCGUCGUCUUCCUCUGGUGCGCGUGGGCGACAGUCACCGGAUCUUCAGGCGGCGCGUGUGGCUCACCACGGGCUCCGAUCAGGCUAUUCUUUGCACCAGUGUGUUGAUCUUGAUGAGCUCUACACUGUGGAAUGAUCAAAACUUGUUUUUGACAGCUUUGAAAAUUUGGAUAUACCCCAAAAACACUCUUGUUUUCUGACGAACGAGGCUCUUAUACCAAUUGUUGGUGGGAGAAACCACUGGUGGUGGCUUUGAAACACUUAGAGGGGAUAAAACACGAAGUUUUAUUACAAAAAACAGAAGCUUAACAAUAACAAUAAAGGUUUACAAUAAACGCCCUCUCUCUAUAUAUAUAUAUCUAGUGUUUUUCUCUUCUCUCCACACUUAUAAUAACCUUAGCUUAGAUGCCUAUUUAUACACAAAUUCAGUCGGCUCAAAAUUCAACCGUCAUGGUGUGAAAGCGGUUGGUGGUCGAUGGUGUGAAUGCGGCUAGGCGGUGGCAGCUGGUGGCUGGCGGCUGGUCGGUGACAGCUGGUGGCCGGUGAGGCGGUGGUUGCCUUCCUUGACCUUCUGGAUAUUCUGGAUAUUGAGUUUAAUAUUCAACAGAGGAAAGUUGUCAAUUAAUAUUGUGCUGAGGCUCUUGCCCGGCGUGCGUGUCUGUACAUGGAGUUCGUCCUCCAUGGAUCCUUUACCCUUGCUACCUCCAUGCGAUCCAUCCGAUUACAUAUAUUAUCCUUUCGACCGGUUUGCUAAAAUCACUAGAUAUUUCGUUGUUGAUGCCUUGAGUUCGGGAAAUAAAGGACUCCACAUUAUUGACUUCUCCUCCAUCAUGUUUGAUCCUGGGCGGUGGAUUUAUUAAUUAAUUGAAGAGCUCGAAGGCCAAUAUGCAUGGUGGCCUGCAAUCACUCAUAAUCAAAUAAAGGUUUUUAUCCCAUUAGUAUUAGCUCAAACAUGUAAUUAACAUAUACACAAGUGAUCCUUGCAUUUUUAACCUUUAAAAGUGGAUGAAAUCUGGAGAGAAAAAAGAACCAUGCCUCUCUUCUCCAUAGAUAUGAGGGUAACGUGGGAGGGUCAUGGUGGAAGAAGAGGUCUGCCUGGUUGCUUCUAUAUGUCGUAACCCUAAAAAUAGUAUUAGAUUCAUUUGGUUAAAUUCUUGUUCACAUGUGAUAUUGUUCACGUAUACAGUAUUGUUCACAUAUAUGGAAAGUCAAUAGAUAUGGUCUAGGAAGUUAUAUCUAAGACUAUUAAAUUUUAAACGGGUCCAUUGUGACCUCUCCAUUCUUUUUAUGGAAACUUACUUAGUGAAAGUAGUGUUCACAAUACUAUUUUAAUAUACGUUAUAGUUUUUAAGUGAAAUAGUGAUAGUUGAACAAAUUAUAGUGAGUAAAAUGACAACAAAAUAUGAGAUUAAGAGUUUUAAUAGGAGCAAUGUCUCACAAUGACAGAUAAGAAUGAAGGCAAUUUUAAGGGGGAAAAAUUGCUUGACAACAAUUGGAGAAAGGCCCAAAGAGAUCAUUGAUAAUGCUGAGUGGAUUGAAAUGGAUAUCAAUGUUAUUACUAAUAUGCAUUUAGCAUUAGCCAAUAAUGUAUUAUCAAGUCCGGUGAAGAAGAAAACAACAAAAAAAAAAUUAGAUACUCUAAUAAAGUUAUAUGAGUCUAAGUCUCUAUACAAAAUGAUUUUAUUAAAAAUAAGACUUUAUACCCUUCAAAGGAAAGAAAUCACAUUGGUGAUUAACCACAUCAAUACAAUAAGAACUUAAUUUUCUUAACUCACUAUGUUGGGUCAACAAAUAAUGAAAAAUAAACAUCAAAAACUUCUACUUCAAAAUCUUUUUAAUUUGCAUGAUCAACUCAUUAUCAAUUUGUGUGAUGAAUAAAUACAGUCUAAGAAGCUUUGUCUAAAGAGAUUGAGCUUUAAAUGAGACUAUUUAUAUCCCCUCCAAUCUUUCAUUGAAACUUACUUAGUGGAAGUAUUGUUCACGCGAUAUUAUUUUUGUAUACAAUACAAUUCGUAAGUACAAAAAUGAUAGUUGAACAAAUUACAGUGAACAAAAUAAAAGCAAAAUAUAAAUUGAGAUGUUCAGUUAGAGCAAUUUCUCACUAUAAAAGAUGAGUGAAGGAAAAUUUAAGAAAAGAUAAUUGUUUGGUAGCAAUUAAAGAUAAAGCCAUGGAGAUCACUGAUAUUGCCAAGUAGAUCAAAGUUGAUAGCAAUGUUAUUGCUGAUACACAUUUAGCAUUAGCCAAUGAAGUAUUAUCAAAUGUAUAAGAGAAGAAAACUACAAAAGAGAUAUGUGAGACUCUGAUAAAGUUAUAUGAAUCCAAGUGUUUACAUAAUAAGAUUUUCUUAAAAAUGAGACUUUAUACCCUUUAAAUGAUAGAAAUCAUGUCGAUGACCAGCCACAUCAACAUAUAAGAACAUGCAGAGCUUCUACUUCAAAGUCCUUUUGAUUCGUAUGAUUAAUUCAUUAUCAACUUGACCAAUAACAUCUCAUGACUAUCUAGUCUUUGAUGAUGUUGCAAUUAUCUUUGAAGUAAAAAAUAGGUGUAAGAACAAAUGAGAUAGAAUUAAUACUUCAAAAAAAAUAAAGGCAUUAUUGAUGUCAAAAGAAAGAUCAAUGAAGUGUGGCUCCAAUAGGAGUCAAAGACAAGGAAAUUCCAAACCAAGAAGUAAGAAUACCAUGAAAUGCUACAACCAUGGCAAAAAAUGCACUUUUGGUAUGUAAAAUGUAUAAAGAAUACCCUGGAUUCAUCAAAACCUUAUGGAUGUGUUGCAAACACUUUGAAUGAUGAGGAAAUUUUAUAUAGCAAAGCAGUAAUAAUCUCUAUAAACAAAAAUAAGUUUACAGAGAUUUGCUUAAUGGAUUUGAGAGCAAGCAUAGGCUAGAAAUACUCAAGCUUGCAAGAAAGGAUGUUGGGGGGGAGGUCCACAUGGCCUCUCUAAGUUCAUUAUGGCAAUCAACAAGACCAAGAAGAGCAUCCAGAAGUGUAUCAAUAAGUUGGUUUUUCAUCGGGAUUGUGCAGCAUUUAAGGCUGAACUAGAGCCAGAGCUAGCUAGAUAUCAAGGACAGUGGAGAAGAGGAGCAUUGACAAGGAAGUACAGGAGUGAGAAGGAGUUGAUCAAAGUAGAGCAGCCUCAAAUACUCAAGAUCAGGAGACAAGCAAAAUCUGGUCCUUUGGAUACUAGGAUGCAAGAGAAUUUGAUGCAUGCCAGUAGAUGCUUGAAGCUGUCUGGUCCUCUGGAUGGGAAAGUGCAGGAGAGAUUGGUGUUUGCUUACAGGAGCCCAAAAUUAUAUGGGACUCCAGAUGGAAGGGUGCCACAAAGUUUGAUGAUGACUAAUAGGAGCCCGCAAGUACAUGGAUAUGAUUAAGGUUUCCAAUUUCCGGAGGAAUCUCACCUGUCAAAUUGUUGCAAGAGAGAUCCAUUCCAGACAUGAUGGGCCAAAUGCUUAUCGGGUAAGAAUAGGAUACACUCUUUGUUGUAAUCUCUAAAGGCUCUCGAAUCAAAUACCUAUCAGGAUAUAUUCUAAGAUAGCUGUACCAAAUACUGCUUCUAAAUCUUAGACAAGGGAGGAUAUGACCAGAAAACUUAUUAUGAGAAAGAUCAAUGAAACUCAAUUUGUCCAACUGGCACAACUGGAUGGGUAUUCUGCCUUCAAGGUUAUUAUAACCCAAGAGAAGAAAGCUCAUGUGGGAAAACUCACCAAUCCAUUCCGAAAUGUUGCCAGUCAAUUGAUUAUGGCUAAGAUCCAAUGUAAUUAGCUCGAAGGAGUUAUGAAAUGCAUCCUCCAAAGACCCCUGUAAUUUAUUUUGUGACAAAUAAACAUGAACUAGUGGCAAAGAGCUAAAACAAAAUGGCAGCUUUCCAGAGAUGUUGUUUUCUGAGAGAUCCAAAACUUGAAGAGAAGACAUAUUGCCAAACGAAGAGGGAAUGCUACCGUUGAAGUGGUUUUUAGACAUGGAUAAAAAUGUCAAACUUGGGAAAUAUGCUCCAAUUUCUGUUGGGAUGUAGCUGUCCAAGUGAUUGUCAGAAAUAUCUAAUUGUGACAAACUCACAUGGGGAUGAAUUGGCAACUGGAAAGGUCCUGAAAGAGAAUUGUUGACCAGGAAAAGUUCAUGUAGGUUUGUGUUGUUCUCUAGCAACCAAUUUGGAACCCCUCCCCUCAUUUUCAUGUUAGAAAAAUAAAUUUCCUGCAAGUUGUGUUGAUAGAAGAGGAAUUUGGGAAAGGGCAAUGCUCCAGUACCAUAUGCUUGACCAGAUAAAUGAAGUCUCUCUAGUUGGAACUUUGGGAUCAAAUUGUGCUCCUUUAGCUCUGCACAGAUUUCAUUAUUAUAACCAAAGAAGAAUUUGAGUUCCGAAUGGUUGAAAAAUGACCUCAAUGAGAUGGGGAUUUGAAAGCGAUUGUCCGAAAGUCUUAAUUCUCGGAUGGAUGUCAGAGUUGUAAGAGGAGACGAGGAAAUAUCACCCACAAAGUAAUUGGAAGAGAGAUCUAUUUGUUUCAGGGAUGUCAAAUUUGCCAAACAAUUAGGCAAGACACCGCUGAGAUUAUUAUUGCUGAUAUCAAGACUUUGAAGAUACUUCAACUCGCAUAGACCUGAGAAUUAUCAAUUUACAAAAUAUUUAACAUGAGAAAAAGAGAGAGAGAGAGAUCAGAAAGGACCAUCAGACUUACCCUCGGCUAUAGGUAUGUUGCCACUGAGUCUACAACCAUUCAACUUUAAACUCUUCAGAGUGGUAAUCCUUCCUAUUGUUUGCAGAAAGCUAUUAUCAAGAGUAGAGGAACUCAAAUCCAACUUUUGCAAAUUCUUGAGAGAAGGCAAGGCUACGAUAAAACAAACCGACAAGAAGUGAUUAGUAUAUUUUGAAGAGGAUAAAGUAAGGGAUACCAAUUAGGAGAAGCUCAAGUCUCUAUAGCCAAAUUAGACAUCAGUACAUAUUGCAACUCACCUUGAGCUAAUAUUGUUCCUUCGAAAUUAUUGUUCCCCAGAUCAAGUGUCUUGAGGUUUGGGAGUUUUGCCAAUGAUUGCAGUAAUGGAAGUGAAAUUCUUCUACCAUUUGCGGUGAUAUUAAGUAAACAAACUCUGCUUAGAUUUCCGAAACCUCUAAUACCUGCAAGAGAACAAGUUUCAAACCUUACGAGCAAAUCAAAAUCGUCCUUACUGCAUGGAAUCUUGGGUAAAAAGUUAGGUAGAUCGAUCGAUCCGUGAAGCCACCAUCGUUCAUGUGGAAUAUUUAAGUAAUACCUUCUGAGAACACAAACUCGUCAAUCUCAUUUCCGCUGAGAUACAGCUUCCUCAAGUUGCUCAAAGCUUCCAAUUCUAGGUUGCAGGAAAAUAGAACUGAUUAGGUCACAGCAAAGCCUUGGAACUCAUUUUUUGAAAUGGAAUAACGUGUGAGCAAUAAUUGGUUUAUAAACCUUUCAUGUUGAAUGUUCCUUUCAGAUGGUUCUUUGCCAGAUCGAGAUUCUUGAGAGAUGAAAGACCCUUGAAGGAUGAUAAGAUACUGUUAUCAAAGCGAUUACCUCCCAAAUCAAGAUACUCCAAAUUGCUCAGUUUCAGCACUUCAUCCUCACCACCUGUAAGAAAUAAUUGUACAAGGUUUGAUGUAAAAAUAGCGAAACAGUGAAAAGAUAAUGCAUAACUCAAAAAUCUUUCAUACCAUGAAGGGAUUUAAACCCUUCAAUGUGAUUGCUCUCAAUACGCAGAUUCCUUAAGUUUGUCAGAUUAUUCAAUCCUGGCAAUACGUAGAACAUAAAUUAAUGCUAUAUAUAAUUGCUUUGGAAUCAUGAUUGUGUUUGAGACAAUUAGUUUAAAAACUGAGAUGAGAAGAGCCAGGCUCACCUUCCACGCUAAUUGUUCCUUCGAUUUCAUUAUCGUGUAGAGAUAAAUAUUUCAAAGAUGAAAGACCACCUAAGGAUGAAAAGAUGCUGCUGUUGAAUUUGUUUUGCCCUAACUGGAGUAUCUCCAAAUUUCGACAACUCGAUGUGUGCUGGAGUUGCAGUGGACUUGUUUCCAUUCGCAGCAGUUAGCAAUAGCAUCUCUUUCCCAGGAGAGCAGGAAUCCGCCAUUUGGGUAACUAAAGGCAUCUUUGAUUUGCAAGAGAGCAAGUCUUUCUUCCUCCAAGCAACCAUGGCACCGCCACCCUUGUAUUAAAACCACCAAAUUUAUAAUCAUUAUCACUGCUAAACACAGCCUGUUCAACUCCAUUUGAAGAACUUUGCUAUUAGUAAAUUCUCAGAAAAAAAAUACAAAAUACACCUCUGUCGCCAUAGAAAGUAACUGUCAGAGGUUCUCUUAUAGGAUAGGAUAGCGCAAAGCUUACGUUUUUACAAGACCACGGUGUAGAGAAAUUAACGAGAAUCACUCCGCGUAAUGUUCAACAGAUUUUCUUUUUAUUGUUUAUUUUUUAUUUUUACUUUCAAGUACGUAUGCAUAAGAUCUACUUUGUUUGACUUCUCAUUUAUUGGUUUCAGACUUGGCAUGCGUUUUCUUUAAGAAAAAGAGGAAAAAUUAGAUAUAUGCCACUAUUAACAGCUUUCUUUUCUUUUGUCUUAGCAGGUGCGAGCCAUCAUCAGGUCAAGCGAUGAAUGAAUACAGCAACCUUCUUCUUUGUCAUAGCGUGUAAUUUUCCACAUCCACUAACAAGACUGACAGCCACUGCCUUAUUCUCGGCCGUAGGGAACACGUCGCGCGCGGUGACCAGUUCUUCUGUUUCUUGUAAAAAGUAAGAGUAAAAUGCAAGAUUUUUCGUGUUCUUCAGCAGUCCCCAGAUCUUGGGGUCAGGGUUUCAUUAAUCCACCUGUGGGUUCUAUUAUUAUAGCUUGUUGGCAAAUUGGUUUCUCUGUUUUUUUUUUCCUUUGACAAUUGGGUUGGGCCGAGACAUGCAAUGUCUUCUCUUUUUUUCCCUUCGGAAGUUCGGGCUGGGCGGAGACAUGCAAUGUCUGUUUCUUUUACUUUGGAUACUUGGGCUGGGCCAUCUCAAAUCAUUUGGAAGCCCAUGAAUAUCAUCUUAACUCUCCAUAUUUUCGACCGCAUUUGCAAGUCUUUUCAUCUCUUUCUAUGGCCUCAUAAAAGUUCAUGAUACAUAACCUGCUAAUUUCAAAUCCCAGAUCUGUAAGGCUCUGUUUGUUUGUAAAAAAAUAAUUUUUUUAAAAAAAUAAUUUUUUUAAAAAAGUAAAUUUUAAGAAAAUAAAGUAUUUUCUGAUGUUCGGUAAUGUAAUGAAAAUAAGUUGGAAAACACUUUUCCAGUAUUUGGUUAUGUUAUGGAAAAUGAGCUGGAAAAUAAUUUAUUACUGUUUUAUUUUUCUCAAGUUUAUUAAAAUAAUGAGGAACAAAUCUUACAAAUUAAAAGGUUGAAUGAGAAUGAAAUUAAAAAAAAAAAAUUUAUAAAUUAGCUCAAAUAAAUUAAUAAUAAUCAAAAUAAUAGAGAUCAAAUCUUAAAAAAAAAAUGAAAGAUGAAGAAAUUAAAAUAACAAUAAUUAACAUUUCAUAAAUUAUGUCAAAUAAAAUAAGUAACAAUCAAAAGAAUAAAGAUCAAAUUUGAUAUAAUAAGCAAAUAAUAUGACAUUUCUAAAUUUUUUACAACUUUCAGAAAGUGUUUUCCGUCCAAAUUUUCCAGAAAAACACUUUCUUGUAAACCAAGCCAAAUUUUCCUUUGACUGGAAAGUGUUUUUCAUUGACUAACUUUUCUAAUGACAAACAAACACAAGAAAGUUUGGAAAGUAAUUUCUCGAAAAUCACUUUUCAGGAAACAAACAUGGCCUAAGUUUCAGUGUAUUAUUAUCUCAGUAGUUGUUUUUUACUUGAAAAUAUAUUAAAAUAAUAUUUUGUAUUGUUUUAAAAUUUAUUUUUAAUAUUAAUACGCUUUAAAAUUACAAAAAAAAACUUGAAACUAAUAUAUAUAUAUAUAUAUAUAUAUAUAUAUUAUUUUAAAAAUAUUUUUAAAAUACAAAAACAAAUAUAUUUUUAAAAUUUUAUUAUGAACAGGUUCAAGUUUGACUAAACUAAUGUUUCGUACCGUCCAAUAACAAAUCUAACACUAAUAUAAUGGGACUGUAUGACUAGUAAUGGAAUUAAUCUGCAAAGCAUAAAUGAAAAGAAAUUAUUCGUUUUGUUGAACGUUAAAGCAGAGCUUCGUUGCAAGGACAAAGUUGCAGUCUUGUUAAAUUGAAAAAAAAUUAUUGCUUUUUUAUUAUUUGAUAAGUUAAUGUUAAAAAUUGUAAAUAAUAUUUGAUAAGUUGCAGUCUUCGCUGCAAGGAUUCCACUCGUAGCUAGACUCUUUGAAUUUUCUACUACCAUUAACAAGACUGACACUGAUGUCACUGUUUUUGCCGUAGGGAAGGCAUUGCAUGCGAUGACCAUUUCAUUUGUCUAUGUCGCUAUUAUUGUAGAAAACAAAAAAAGUAUUUCAGAAUCCUUUUUAUUUAAAAUCCUUCCAACCUCAUACCAGCCUAGUCCCAAGUUACGGAGGAAACGCUAACAGCCUAGCACUUUCCACGAAGAAUAUGAAUUUGGAAAACAAGCCGAAAGAGAGGACUUUGACUAACAGCCUCGCACUUUCCACGAAAAAUAUGAAUUUGGAAAGUAAGCCGAAAGAGAGGACUUUGUCUAACAGCUAGCACUUUCCACGAAAAAUAUGAAUUUGGAAAGUAAGCCGAAAGAGAGGACUUUGUCUGGCUCAACAUCAUAUUAUUUUAAUACCUAUUUCUGACUGAACUUUUAUAUAUAUAUAUAUAUAAUUAAAGAAACGAUUAGUGAAACCUAAAUGAUUAGACAGUCUUUUUUUUUUUUUAAAUGAAACUAUAUUAUUUUAAUUUUUUUAAAAGAAAUAUUUUGAAUGUCAUAAAUAAAAACAUUAAGAACCCUAUAGAAGAUUUGUAGAACGAACUUUGAAAGAUAUAUUAAAAAAAAAAAGUGAAAAACCAUUUUGUAAAACCUAUGACCAAGCCAAUGAAAUAAGUGGCAAGAUGCUGGUUUUUCAAAAAUUUCAUUAGUUUCAAUUUUUUAUUCGAUUGUUUUGGAAUAUUUUCAACAUUCUUCUUGUAAAAAUCUUCACUGCAACUUUUGGUCCACAAAGGGAUCGUUUGGUAGUGCGUUUCAACCUGCUUUUCGCUAAAUUUUGAUUAUUUUUUUUUUUUGCUAAAAUUGAGUUCGGUUUGUACUUUUUGGAUCGUUUUGAUCAUAGUUUUAAAACUCGGACCGGCCCGGCGGGUUGACCCGGGACCCGGCCGACCCGGGCAUGGGACCGGUCCGGGCGAAGGCCAAAACCCGCUUGGGAAUUGGCCCGGCCAGACCCGGUCGACUCGGGACCCGGUUGACCCGGCAAGACCCGGCCACAAACCCAUUGACUUUUUGUUUUUUUUUGCUAAAACGACGUCGUUUUGAUUUUUUAAAAAUAAAUUUUGACCCGGUCGAGACCCAGUGACCCGAUCAAAACCCGGAACUCGGGGCUUGGACCGGGCCGGGUCUUAAAACUAUGGUUUUGAUGUGCUGAUGUCAAAAAUGAUUUUUAAAAAAUGAAAAAACAUCAUUAGCAUGUAUUUCGACACGAAAAGCUAUUUAAAAAGCAACCGCUACCACACUGUCAAACACGCUCAAAGCAAAGGAUUCCACUCGUAGCUAGACUCUUUGAAUUUUCUACUACCAUUAACAAGACUGACACUGAUGGCACUGUUUUUUCCGUAGGGAAGACGUUGCAUGCCAUGACCAUUUCAUUUAUCUAUUUCUCUAUUAUUGUAGAAAAAAAAAAAAGUAUUUCAGAAUCCUUUUUAUUUAAAAUCCUUCCAACCUCAUACCAGCCUAGUCCCAAGUUACAGAGGAAACGCUAACAGCCUAGCACUUUCUGUUAACAUGUAAUUAGUUGAAUUAGAGGGUAGUUUUCUAUAUAUAAAAGACAUACUCUAUAGAAGUCCUGAAAGGAUAUACAUUGCAGUAUUCCUUUCAGAAUAGGAAAGAUGUAACCAACAUAUAUAUUUGCCUAUAUAAGGCAUCCCUCCACAGGAGAAGAAGAAGAUGCAGAGGAUACAUCCAACCCUAAAGCCUUAAAAGUAACAUGGUAUCAGAGCAAGGUUGAAAGCUAAAAUCUUCCUUUAACUUUUCAGCCGCCACAUUAAUCUUCUCCUGGGAAUUGGUCUUGAAACAAGAGACCAACCAUGGAUGACACAAAUACUUCUAUUAUCCCUAUAAACCAAACUUCAUUCUCUGCUGAAACACCUAACCUAAACACCUUACCCUUUGGAUUUAAAUUGAAUGAGACAAACUUCAAAAUCUGGUCACGUAUGCUUGAACUGCAUGCUGCUGGAUUGAACAAACUUGGCUACUUAACUGGGCAGAAUGCUAGAGUGGAAGAAGGAAAUUUUGGUUACUCAAAGUGGUGCACUGAAGAUGCAGUGGUACGAGGAUGGUUGUUGAAAACCAUGGAGCCUCAUCUUAUUGGUUUAUUUAUAGACCUGUCAUCAGCCAAGGAAAUCUGGGAUAGUGUCACUCAAACCUUUUAUGAUGGGGCUGACGAGUCACAAUUCUAUGAGCUACGCUGCAAAGCCACGAGGACGAAACAGAAUGGGCGUCCAGUUAACUUGUAUUACGCAGAGCUGAAUAGUGUAUGGCAGGAAAUUGAUAAGCGACGACCAAUUAAGAUGAUAUGUGCUGCAGAUCUUAGAACCAGACAAGAAGAAAUUCAAAAGGACCGGAUCUAUGACUUUCUUGCAGGUUUGGAUGAAGUUUUUGAUUCAAUACGCAGUGAUCUCCUUCGAAAAAAAUCUGUUCCAAGUAUUGAAGAGUGCUUCAAUACAAUUCGACGGGAGGCUCAGCGACAAGUCACCAUGCUGGGAGCAAAAAACACUGGUGAAGGUUCAUUAAUUGCAAUGAUUUCCAAAUCCACCACCCCUUCUAACAUGCGCACUCUUCGAGCUAUUGAGGAAGCAGAAAAAGACAAGUUGCGUUGCAGCCAUUGUAAUGGAAGUCGCAAUACCAGAGACACUUGUUUUGAGAUUCAUGGCUACCCUGACUGGUUUCUAGAAAAACGGAAGCAAAGUAAAGCAAGAAGUAAUAAACGUCCAGUCCAAGCAAAAUUAACCACUGCAACAAAAAUUCCUUCCAGUUUUGCUGCCAUGGCAAUAAGCAAAAAAAGACCACACUAAACCGGAUGAAUUACUCUCCUUAGCGAAAACUGACCAGACUUCAGCGACAGGUAAAACUGGAGUGGUUUUGUCGACAUCCACGGUUCAUGAUACAGGUUGGAUCAUUGACUCGGGUGCCACAGAUCAUAUGACGUAUAACAAAUCAUUAUUUCAAUACAUGACUCCCCCGUCUAAGGAAAAGGUCAUGACAGCCAAUGGGGAGUCUACCCCAGUCAUUGGAGCAGGAUCAAUUGUUCUAACUCCUGAUCUUUCACUACAUAAUUGUUUACUUGUCCCUGCACUUUCAAAUCAUUUACUGUCUGUUAGUCAAAUUACAGAAGAAUUGGAUUGUGUGGUAUUAAUGUUUCCCACGUUUUGCUUACUUCAGGAUAUCCGGACUCAAGCGAUCAUUGGACGUGGUACUAAGAGGAAGGGGUUAUACUAUGUAGAUGACGUAGCUUCAGGUCACGUCCAUCAAGUUCAGAGUCACAAUGGUAAUAAUCACAAGAAAAUUUGGUUAUGGCAUCGUCGGCUGGGUCAUGCAUCCUUUGGCUACUUAAAAAAAUUAUUUCCUUCCCUCUUUGAUGACAUUCCGGAUCCAAGUUCCUCUCUUAAGUGUAAUGUUUGCAUCUUGGCCAAGAGCCAUCGAACUUCAUAUCCUGUAAACUUGAAUAAAAGAACAAAGCCUUUUGAAUUGAUCCACUCUGAUGUUUGGGGACCUGCUCCAAUUACUUCCCAAUCUGGAAUUCGAUGGUUUCUUACAUUUGUCGAUGAUUGCACCAGAAUGACUUGGUUAUAUACUAUGCGACACAAGAGUGAUGUGCGUAAUAUAUUCCCAAUUUUUUAUCGCAUGGUGUGCACUCAGUUCUCCCUGCCGGUGAAGAUUAUUCGAUCAGACAAUGGUGGAGAAUAUCUUAACUCUGAACUCUUGAGUUUCUUUCAAAACAAUGGUAUUCUCCAUGAGACUACUUGCCCGCGCACUCCACAACAAAAUGGUGUGGCAGAACGCAAAAACAGGCAUAUUCUUGAAACUACUAGAGCUCUUCUCAUUGGUGCCCAUGUCCCUCAACAUUAUUGGGUUGAUGCAGUAACCUAUGCUGUGUAUCUCAUCAACCGGAUGCCAUCCCAAGUCCUCUCCUUCAGCACUCCCUUGCAGACUCUCACUCAACACAUUCAGAUUCCAUCCCUCCUACACUUAGAACCCCGUGUGUUUGGAUGUGUAGCUUAUGUUCACCUGCAGAAAACUCAGCGCACAAAACUGGAACCAUGCGCAGUACGGUGUGUCUUUCUUGGUUUCAAUCCUCACCAAAAGGGAUACCGGUGCUACCAUCCUUCUUCUCGCCAGAUGCAUGUCAGUAUGGAUGUUACCUUCUCUGAAACAGAAUAUUUUUUCCAUAUGAAUCCAUCCAGCUCUAGUCCUCAGGGGGAGCUGCAAUAUGAUGCCUACAACUGGAUUGAUCUUCAGUUGAUUCAGGGAAGGAAACACAGAUUCAGGGGAAGGAAAUACGGAGCAGCAGCAGUCAACUUCAGGGGAAGAAAUGGAAACCAGUACACACACAAUUAGUAAUGUUGGGGAAGGAAAUACAGAGCCCAGCUCCAGAACAACUGCAACGGGCAAUGCAGGGAAAGAACACAUAGAGUACAAUACACAUAGCAGCAGUGAUGCAGAAGAAGAAUACAUGCAUGAUGAAAUAACCCCUUCCUCUCCACAAAUCCAUGUUCAAGAUCGAUCGGAUAUCCAUGAGGUAAGUGACACUGAAAGCCCUUCCUCUUUCCCUUUAUUAUCUGCCCCAUGCUACUCUCCCUCCUAGACAGACAGAACCGUGGAAAGGCCCCUGACAGGUACUCACCGAAUGGAAAAGCAAAAUAUGCAAUCACACAGUAUGUCUCUACACACAAACUACCUCCACAGCAUCAAGCCUUCAUAAGUGAGAUGGCGAAUAUAAGAAUACCUACAAAGGUUGAGGAUGCCUUACAACACCCGAAAUGGGCAGAAGCAAUGGAGGCUGAAAUGAGUGCAUUACAAAGAAAUGACACAUGGAGUAUUGUAUCACUCCCUCCAGGAAAAAAACCAGUGGGCUGCAAGUGGAUAUUCAACCUCAAACAUAGAGCAGACGGCACAAUUGAUCGGUUCAAGGCAAGGCUAGUAGCAAAGGGGUACACACAAUCAUUCGGCAUUGACUAUCAAGAAACUUUUGCUCCAGUUGCAAAAAUGAACACCAUCAGAGUCUUGUUGUCUUUAGCAGCAAAUUUCAGUUGGCCUUUGAAGCAAUUUGAUGUGAAAAAUGCAUUUCUCCAUGGGGAUCUGGAAGAAGAAGUCUAUAUGCAACUUCCACCUGGGUUUAACAGCUCACAAUCUAGUGGAAAAGUGUGUAGAUUACGAAAAGCAUUGUAUGGCUUGAAGCAAUCGCCAAGAGCAUGGUUUGGGAGAUUCACAGAAGCUAUGAAACGAAUUGGUUAUCACCAAGGUAACUCUGAUCACACUCUAUUCAUCAAACAGAAGAAUGGUAAAGUUACACUGCUCAUUAUUUAUGUAGACGAUAUGAUCGUAACUGGUGAUGACACAGAUGAAAUAAAAAAGCUACAAGAAUGUUUGUCUACCGAAUUCGAAAUGAAAGAUUUAGGAGGACUGAAAUAUUUUUUGGGAAUUGAAGUUGCAAGAACUAAAGAUGGUAUAUACUUGUCACAACGAAAGUAUAUACUGGACCUAUUAUCUGAAACGGGUAUGCUAGAAUGCAAACCAGUAGAGUCUCCUAUUGUUCAAAAUCAUCGAUUGGCCAUUCACCCAGAUCAGGUACCAACAAACAAAGAAAGAUACCAGCGAUUGGUAGGGCGGUUAAUUUAUUUAUCUCACACUCGCCCAGACAUUGCCUAUGCGGUUAGUGUGGUAAGUCAGUUUAUGCAUGCUCCAAGUGAAGAUCAUAUGACAGCUGUAAUGAGAAUUCUGAGUUAUCUAAAAGGGGCUCCAGGAAAAGGAUUGACAUUUAAAAGACAUGGAACUAUGGAAGUGAAAGGAUUUACUGAUGCAGAUUGGGCAGGAAAUCUCACUGACCGGAGAUCCACCUCUGGCUAUUUUACAUUUGUUGCAGGAAAUCUUGUCACAUGGCGAAGUAAAAAACAAAAUGUGACAGCAAGGUCCUCAGCAGAAGCAGAAUAUAGAGGGAUGGUACAUGGAAUAUGCGAACUGUUAUGGCUCGGGACCUUACUCACAGAAAUAGGUUUUGAACCCAAAGACCCUAUGUUACUAUACUGUGACAAUCAGGCAGCACGAGAGAUAGCUAAUAAUCCAGUACAGCAUGAUCGAACUAAACACAUUGAGGUAGAUCGACACUUCAUCAAGGAAAAGUUACUUCUAAAGUUAGUGGACAUCCCUUUCGUCAGAUCAAGUGAGCAACUAGCAGAUAUUCUAACCCAUGCAGUCCCUGCAGAAGCUCUUCAUAAGUCUCUAGACAAGUUAGGCUUAGAAGAUAUCUUCGCACCAACUUGAGGGGAAGUGUUAACAUGUAAUUAGCUGAAUUAGAGGGUGGUUUUCUAUAUAUAAAAGACAUACUUUAUAGGAGUCUUUAAAGGAUAUACAUUGCAGUAUUCCUUUCAGAAUAGGAAAGAUGUAACCGACAUAUAUAUUUGCCUAUAUAAGGCAUCCCUCCACAGGAGAAGAAGAAGAUGCAGAGGAUACAUCCAACCCUAAAGCCUUAAAAGUAACACUUUCCACGAAGAAUAUGAAUUUGGAAAAUAAGCCGAAAGAGAGGACUUUGUCUAUGGCCCGUGGAAAAUUAUGACAUUUGAUUGUGAUAUUGCAAAUUGCAGUCCAACGAUCUUAUUUAUAAAGAGAAAUAAUCAAGUUUUUAUAAGUUAAAGCCUCUACUUGGCUAGGCUUUUCUACCUCAAUUUACUUCAUUUCAUUUAGUGUGAGAGAAAUAAAAGUUUUUCAUAAGAUUUAUUGAUCUCAUCGGGAUGUUUGCAAGAAUAUUUUUUAUUUCAUUCAAUCCUGUUUGAUAGAGCUCGAAUCAAGUUUCAUAUCCUAGCUACUUUCAGGUCCAUUUGGUGUCUUUGACAGUCAUGAAAUAUAAUUAUUCUUGCUAAUUUCAAGAUUUUGUUUAACAUAGUUUUAUAUGUAAUCAACCGGUCAAUUGACUCAUCUACUAUUUAUCUUCACAAUCUAUUUUUGUUUUUUUUUCAGUUUUUUUUAGCUUUUGCUUUGUUUUUUUGUUAUUUUUUGUCAAGUAGACUGGGUAGCAAGCAUUUAUACUUCUUGAGGUAUGCUCCUCGUGCUCUAUAUAGUUUCUUCCAUUUAAUACAAUAACUUUUAUCCGAAAAUAAAGAAACAAUUUUGUUUUGCUAUACAUUGCAAGUUUUAAUGUCUAUUUAAUAUGUAUGCUAUGAUUUUAUUUUGAUGAAGAUGAACUUAAUUAUAUAAAAAUGCAAGCAAUCUAAACUAAAUUAUAGAUCGAUAACAACAGUUAUCCAAUUCAAAAAAACCACUCAAAGAUUUGAGCUGAACCAUUACACUAAUGCAAAAUUAUUCAUCAAAGAAAUUUAGAAGUGCAUUUUCAAGGAAACCAAAAAUAAUGGAUACAUGAACCUUGUUCGGUAUACUUCUAGCUAAAACAGGAUAUCAAUCAUCGAUAACUAUCCUCCUCGGUUGCAUUUUAGCUGUCAUAUGGAGAGGAAAACUUUAUCAUCAUAACUAGUAUUAACAUGAAUUAGAUGACUGUUGAUUUCCUGGGUUGGCACUCAAACUUGCAGCGCAUUGUGCAAAUUCUAAAAAAGUGAAUUUACAUAGCCGGAAUAUCUACAAUGUCAUGUGCUUAAGGAGAAUGGCUUCCCAUGGCCUCAACUUAUCAUAUUCCACUUCGAGCAGCUUAGUGAUUUGAAGUUUGAGGAAGCCUGAAAGAACCCCCGGCAUAAAGCAUCUCAUAGACAGGCCUUAUCCUCAUAGUUAGAACUAGUUAUAUGCCCCACGCGACGCCGCGAGUCAAUUAUUUUUUGUAUUUCAAAAAUAGUUAAGAUCUAAAAAUAUUAGGUUUUUUUGCAAAGUUAUACCUAGUAAAACGCAGUGCAGUUCACAGCAAAACACUGAUUCCUUUUAGGUAUAUAUAAUAAUAAUAAUAAUAAUAAUAAUAAUGCUCACGAUGGAGCCCAAACCGCAGGCACCAGCCAGAACCAAGAAGGUGAGCCAUGAUAGCUGAGAAGGAUUAGAAUGGUGAAGGUUAUUCCGCACGGCGACUCUCUACAAAUCUGUCUCCAAGAGCAUGAUUAUUUGCACUUUUGCUAUUUGAUAACAAUAUCAAAGAAGGGAGACAUGAUAGCUGAGAAGGAUUAGAAUGGUGAAGGUUUUGAAAAAAAAUGAAAGAAAGAGUGAAAUUAAUUGAAAUCUUGUUUUCAUUUAACUAUAUUAUUUAAAUUAAUUUGAAUCUUGAUUUUUAUUUAAAUAUAUUAUUAACAAAUAAAAAGACGAUGUUGCUAAGUUAGAAUUGACAUUGGUAGGAUUUGAGAGUUUCUUGAUAAAUAACCUUCUCAAGUUUCACCUGACCCACAAUCCAAGAUUUGCUCCAGAUCAACCUUGGAUAGGGUUCAAAAACCAUGGUGAAAAGUAAAAGGAACGUAACAGAGAGACGAGAGUCAUGUAUGUUACCAGCCAUUGAAUUAAUAUUGAUGUAAAACAAAAACUUGGGAAUUUCCUCGAAGAAUAAACGGGACAAUAAGCCAAAUAAAGAAGAAUGAAUGCAGCAACCUUCUUCUUUGUCAUAGCGUGUAAUUUUCCUCAACCACUAACAAGGCUGACAGCCACUGCAUUAUUUUCGGCCGUAGAGAACACGUCGCGCGCGAUGACCAGUUCAUCUGUCUCUUGUAAAAACUAAGAGUAAAAUGCAAGAUUUUUCAAUGUGUUCUUCAGCGGUCCCCAGAUCUUGGGGUCGGGGUUUCAUCAAUCAACCUGUGGGUUGUAUUAUAAUAGCUUGUUGACAAAUUGGUCUCUCUGUUUUAAAUGCAAAAACAAACAUGUUUUUAAUAGCUGCGGUUAAUUCUUUUUUUAAAUUUUUAUUAUAAAUCGUUGCAAGUUUGACAGAUCUAAUAUUUCAAACCGUCCAAUAACAAAUCUAACAGUAAUAUAAUGGGACUAUAUGACUAGUAAAGGAACUAAUCUACAAAGCAUAAAUGAAAAGAAAUGAUUCGUUCUGUUGCAACUUUGCUCGGUAGAAAUGUUAGAAAAAAAGCAGAGCUGGGCUGCAAGGACAAAGUUGCAGUCUUGUUAAAUUGAAAACAUUUUAUUGCUUUUUUUAUUAUUUGAUAAGUUAAUGUUAAAAAUUUUAAACAAUACUUUAAUAUGUUUUCAAGUAAAAAAAUUUACACCAUAAUAUCAUACAUUUAUUUUAUAUUAAAAUACAAUAUUAAUUAACUAAUUAUAUUAUUAUUAUUAAAUUCAAUUUGACUCAAGAUCAUAUUAUUUUAUUAUUAUUAUUUGAUAAGUUAGUAUUGAAAAUAUAAAAAAUUAAAAAAAUAUUUUAAUAUAUUUUUAAGUAAAAAACAUUUACAUCAUAAUAUCAAACAUGCAUUUUAUAUUAAAAUACAAUAUUAACUAGCUGAUUAUAUUAUUAUUAUUAUUAUUAUUAAAUUCAAUUUGGCUCAACAUCAUAUUAUUUUAAUACCUAUUUCUGACUGAACUUUUAUAUAUAUAUAAAAAGAAACGAUUAGUGAAACCUAAAUGAUUAGACAGUCUUUUUUUUUUUUUAAAUGAAACUAUAUUAUUUUAAUUUUUUUAAAAGAAAUAUUUUGAAUGUCGUAAAUAAAAACAUUAAGAACCCUAUAGAAGAUUUGUAGAACGAACUUUGAAAGAUAUAUUAAAAAAAGAAAAGUGAAAAACCAUUUUGUAAAACCUAUGACCAAGCCAAUGAAAUAAGUGGCAAGAUGCUGGUUUUUCAAAAAUUUCAUUAGUUUUCAAUUUUUUAUUCGAUUUUUUUGGAAUAUUUUCAACAUUCCUCUUGUAAAAAUCUUCGCUGCAGCUUUUGGGGAGUGGUGGUCCACAAAGCAAAGGAUUCCACUCGUAGCUAGACUCUUUGAAUUUUCUACUACCAUUAACAAGACUGACACUGAUGGCACUGUUUUUUCCGUAGGGAAGACGUUGCAUGCGAUGACCAUUUCAUUUGUCUAUUUCUCUAUUAUUGUAGAAAAUAAAAAAAAAGUAUUUCAGAAUCCUUUUUAUUUAAAAUCCUUCCAACCUCAUACCAGCCUAGUCCCAAGUUACGGAGGAAACGCUAACAGCCUAGCACUUUCCACGAAGAAUAUGAAUUUGGAAAAUAAGCCGAAAGAGAGGACUUUGUCUAACAGCCUUUUAAUUGUGAUAUUGCAAAUUGCAAUCCAACGAUCUUAUUUAUAAAGAGCCUCUGACCGUUGUUUUUCGAUACAUAAUUUCAUCGAGGAGUCCAAAUGGGUUUAAACAGGUUCUCUUCUUUAGCAGGGACACUGAUGAUUUAUGCUAUGGUUUUGUCAGAAAGCUGGUGGUCAUGUCACGGGUGCUUAGACGAAGAGACAAGUGCUCUCUUGCGGAUUAAAAGCUCCUUUAGUUACCCAAGCGGCACAUUCCUUCAAUCUUGGGGAAAAGUAGCCGACUGUUGUUCUUGGAAAGGCGUUGACUGCAAUUUCACUACAGGACGAGUUGUCGAACUUGAUCUUCCAGGCAUAAGGGAAGAGGGAUUGGGAGAUUUGUACCUAAAUGUCUCUUUGUUUCGUCCCUUCCAAGAACUGCAAUCUCUUUAUUUAAGUCGAAAUUUUAUAGUUGGCUGUGUUGAGAAUGAAGGUUUAUCUCUUGUUUGCGUGCUACUGCAAUUUCAACAGCAAAAAGAAAGAGAAUAGAUUCUAUAUUUUUCAAGCUACUGAUUGAAAUGCCCAUGCAGGUUUUGAAAGACUAUCCGGACUUGACAGCUUGGAGAUUCUCAAUUUAGACUUUAACAAAUUCGACAACAGCAUACUUUCAUCCCUUGGUGGGCUUUCCUCUUUGAGAAUCCUGUCUCUAUAUGGUAACCAACUCAAAGGAGCAAUUAGUGUUGAUGGUAAUUAAGCUUGAUCACUUCUCUCCUUUUCUUUCUCAAAUAAAACCAUGUUAAUUACUGCCCUUUUUUAAUUGUUGUACUUGGUACAAUUAUAUUUGGCCAGAACUGAAUAAUCUAACAAGCUUGCGGUCGUUGGAUUUUGGUGGCAAUGAAAUUGAAAGCUUUAAAUCCAUUCAUGGUAUGAAAGAGUUGUGAGUUGAUUGAGCAUUUGUUUUCACACAUAAGUACUCCAUUAUCCUUUCAGGUUACAUGAAAGCUUAUGGUAUUUUUAUAGGUACUGGUGACGACUUACUGAGGUUAAGAAAUCUGGAAGAACUUUUUUUGGAUUAUAAUCGCUUUAAUGACAGUGCCUUAUCAUCCCUCAAGGGUCUUUCAUCUCUCAAAUCCCUGGAUAUAGGGUACAACCAACUGAAAGGAUCAUUCAAUGUGACUGGUAACCUCACCUUUUUCGAUUCCUAGAAACCAAUCUAUGAUUUUUGCUGUGAUGUAAUAUUAAAUUUCUGUUUUUCGACAACCUAGAGCUGGAUGCUUUGAUCAACUUAGAGAGCCUGGAUCUAGCGGGAACAAGAUUGACGAAUUUGUGUUAUCCAAAGGUAUUGAUUGCUUUCCACACUGAUUGAUGGUAGCUUUACCUUUAUCAACCUAAAAUCUCAUUAAUUGAAUUGUAUUUUCGAGGAUGAUUUUGCUCAGAAUAAAAGCUCAGAAAGGUUUUAAAAUUUGUUUUACUUCUGCUGUCCCCUGCAGAUACUAGAGGUUUUGGAAAUGUAAGCCUCAUUUCAUUAUCUAAUAGCACCUUAAAUGGAAGAGCUCUUCCAUUUGCAUUGCUGCAAUCGUUGACGAAAUUCCCAAACCUCAAGACCCUUUAUUUGGAUGAGAAUAAUCUUGAAGGAAGUUUCGGAACAACAUUAGAUAAAGGUAAUUUGUGGUACUGAUGCCUAAAAGCGAUCCUGAAUAUCUGUUAAUUGUUCUUUUUUUCUUUGUAAACGUGCUUUAAAUCAUCUUUUCCUAGUUAUAGGAAUUUAAUUGAUUGUAGCGGGGACAUUAUAAUGGAGCUUCUUGUUGGUUUUAUCAUCUUGUUUCCUUAUCAUUAUCCGGCUCUUGAAUACCGAGCAUAAUUUCUUGUGGGUUUGAUUAUUGUAGACUUGGCUUCUCUCAAGAAUUUAGAAGAGUUGGAUUUGAGUUCCUCCACUGUCGAUAAUAGCUUUCUGCAAACAGUUGGGAAGAUUACUACUCUAAAGAGUUUAAGAUUGGAUGACUGUCGACUCAAUGGCUCCAUCCCUAAAGCCAAAGGUAAGUCUGACCACCUCUCCCCUCCUUAGGCGUUCUGCUUCUUCUCUGACUAAAAUUUUUAUGAAUCAAUAAAUUCUCAGGCCUAUGUCAGUUAAAGCAUCUCCAAAAUCUAUAUAUCAGGUGGAAUGAUCUCAGUGGUGCUUUGCCCUGGUGUUUGGCAAAUUUGACAUCCCUUCAAGGAUUAUAUUUGUCUAACAAUAACUUUAUUGGAGACAUUUCCUUCUCUCCUCUUACAAGUCUCACAUCCAUCCGAGAGUUAUCACUUUCAGACAACCACUUUCAGAUCCCUGUCUCAUUGAGCUCAUUUCUCAACCAUUCACAACUCAAGGAUUUCGAUGGUAGGAAUAACAAAAUAUAUGUUGAAGAAUUAGAGGAGCAUAAUUUGGCCCCAAAGUUCCAAUUAGAGCGUCUUAGUUUAUCUGGCAAUGGAUAUGGUGGAGCAUUUUCCUUUCCCAAAUUCCUCCUCCAUCAAUACAGCCUCCAAGAAAUUGAUUUUUCUAACCUGAAAUUGAGGGGAAGGUUUCCUAUUUGGUUGUUAGAGAACAACACAAACCUAAAUUAUCUCCAUUUGGUCAACAAUUCUCUUUCAGGGACUUUUCAAUUGCCAAUUCAUCCUCAUCAGAAUUUGUCUGAAUUAGAUAUUUCUAACAAUAACUUCGAAAGCCACAUUCCUAGAGAAAUAGGAUCAUAUUUUCCAAGUUUAACAUUUUUAUCCAUGUCUGAUAACCACUUCAGUGGUCGCGUUCCCUCUUCAUUUGACUUUCUGUUGUAUCUUCAAGUUUUGGACCUCUCAAAUAACAACAUCUCUGGAACCUUACCAUCUUUCUUUAACUCUUCAAACCUCCUGCAUGUUUAUAUGUCACGAAAUAUGCUACAAGGAUCCCUCGAACAUGCAUUUCAGAAAUCCUUUGAGCUAAUAACGUUGGAUCUUAGCCAUAAUCAUUUGACUGGUAGCAUUCCAAAAUGGAUUGGUGAGUUUUCCCAACUGAGCUUUCUUCUCUUGGGUUAUAAUAAUCUUGAUGGCAGUAUACCCACGCAAUUGUGCAAGUUGAACGAAUUAAGCUUCAUUGAUCUUUCUCAUAAUAAUUUUUCUGGUCAUAUUCUACCUUGCCUAAGAUUUAAAAGCAUUAUUUGGUUCAUCUCCAAAAGAUAUCUUUAUGUUGAUCUUCUAGAACCAUUGGUUAGUGCAACAAAGAGUCUGUCUAUCUUAUCCGCCAGUAUUUUGUACUACAUGACCGGAUUGGAUCUCUCCUGCAACAGUUUGUCAGGUGUGAUUCCUCUGAAAUUGGGAAUCUCAACCACAUUCAUGUAUUGAACCUGUCCAACAAUCAUUUAAUAGGCCCAAUCCCACAAACUCUUUCAAAUUUGAGUGAAGUUGAGAGCUUGGACCUUUCCAAUAACAGCUUGAAUGGGGAAAUCCCUCCUCAACUUGUACAAUUGCAUUUCUUGCCUAUUUUAGUGUAGCCACAAUAACCUGUCUGGUAAGACUCCUGAGAUGGUUGCACAAUUCUCAACAUUCAAUAAGAGCAGCUACGAGGGAAAUCCCUUACUUUGUGGACCACCACUACUUAACAGUUGCACCAAAGAAGUACCACCACCACCACCACCUGGGCCUUCUACUGAUGAGAAAGAAGAGAGUAGUGUCAUCAUUGAUGCACAAGUUUUCUGUGUGAGCUUUGUUGUGACGUACAUCAUGGUGCUGUUGGAAUAGCUGCAGUUUUGUACAUAAACCCAGACUGCGGCGAGCAUGGUUUUAUUUCAUUGAGAAGAGCAUCAACACUUGCUACUACUUUGUUGCGG
RNAcentral lists this long non-coding RNA (83864 nucleotides) under Populus tremula. RNAcentral describes it as "long non-coding RNA (PTRE_LNC002596)". Lineage: Eukaryota; Viridiplantae; Streptophyta; Magnoliopsida; Malpighiales; Salicaceae. The record is from RNAcentral.